AGAAACCCUUCAUUAUCCUCUUCAGCAACCCUAACCAACCUCUCCAAAAGCUUCUGCUUUUCUUUAAAAGCAAGAUCACCAACAUCAACUUCAUGAGCACCUCCAUGAGAAGCUGUCAACAAACCUUUUCUUAGACGAUUGUAAGUAGGUAGUUUUUCAAGUGCAGCCCAUUUGAGAGCUUCUUCAUCAUCUUCUUCACGUGAUGAUUUAGAGAAAACCUCAACUCCACUCUGUCUCCAAACAGUUGAACUUCUUGCUCUUAAACUAUUAGUAGCUCUGUAUAUAUCAGUCCCUUCCAUUUUUGCUUUGUUCAACAGCCUCAACACAAGCUUGUGUUUCUUAUUUUUCUUUUCAAGGCAAUACUGUUAUUAUGAAUUGAACCAAAACAUUAAACUAAAUGGAGUGUCGAAUAAAAUGAAAGAAUCAAAGAAUGAUGAAAGGAAAAAACUUGUUGUAUUGAUGUUUCUUUGUGGCAAAGGAAAUGAAUAUGGAAUGAGAAAACAUGUUUGUAUUUAUACCUUUGAUGCCAAAGAAGUGGCGGCUAUGGAGAGUCAAAUGUUGAAAUUUACGUGUUUUUUUAGUAAUAAAAAAAGUACUAGAAGGGACAGGAGAGAAAUAUAUGUCAAAUGGUCAAAUAAUGAAGGAGGACUAGACUAGGCAUCUUGGUUGGCCAUCAUGAGGAAACUUCGUCCUACAUAUUAAGGUGUAAUAUAUUUUCCAUAGAUAUUAUAGGACUAAAACAAGGCGGCCAAGGCCACUCAUUGAUAUUAUACAGUAAAAAUAAUAGAGAAAUAAAAACAAUAAAUACUAAUAAGAAUCAAAGAAAAAACAAGAGAUUUAAUCAUGGCUAUUAAACACCUUCUUCGUAGAGAGUAGGUGGUUAGUUUACGACAUACUUUGUGUGAGGGUAACGCUGCAACUGAUUUUUUAGCUAGAAAGGGUGCUCUUAGUGAUAGUAGCCUUGUUAUUUUGAAUGAAACCCCUCCUGAUAUGGCCUCUGUCCUCUUAGCAGAUGCCAUGGGUGUUGAGUUUAUUCGACCCUAGUAUGGAUGGGUCUUUUUUAGCUUUUUUUCCCUUUUUUUUCCCCUUUUGUUACCAAAAAAGAAAAAACAAGAGAAUAAAAUUCCAGCUCAAAAAAAAAAAAACACAAAAGAAUAACAUUUCAAUAAAAAAAUGGUAGUUAGGAAUCAACCAAAAGUAUCUAAGCAGCGACGUCAUUCGCUUGCAUUUUUUUUUUGUACACAUUUCUUUUCAUGUUUCAAAAAACAUAAUGUUUGAAAAGUUGGAAAUUCACAGGUUUACUGUUUUAUAGUCCUCACUUCCAAAAUAUAGACUGCUAGAACAAUCAUAACCUUGACAUUUGACUCGUAUAUAUAUUUUUUGGUCCAAACAUAUUUUUUUGACCGAAAAAAAAUCAGUAAUUUGAUAAUUUUUUUUAUAGUCUAUUUUUAGACAAAAUACACUAUAAAGAAGUGUGCUUAUGGUAAAUCACCUUUUAUUUUUCACUCAAAUAAAUUACUGGGCUUGAUGUGCCUCCUUUCUUACUCGAAAAUAGAAACAAAAGUGAAAAUCUUAAAGCAAGAGAAAAAAUAUAACGUAGAAUAUGUAACUAUUCUGCAAAAAUAAUUUAUGUGCAAUUCUAUAUACUAUUGCAGUCUUACACCAAAAAGUUCUUUAUUUGCAGGAUUAGGUGCACCAUCACAAAGGCGUAAAGGUUCAAAUUGUUGGAUCAUUAAAUGCAGGAACUGCAUACUUUGACCGGUUGCAAAUCUUUAUAAGAAAACUUGAAAGUCAAGUCAAACACAUAAUAUACAUAGUCCCUAUCUAAAUAAGCAUUUAUCCUAAGCGCAUGUAUAAGUUAUUUUUAUAACAAAAUAUAAAAUAAAUGUAAACAUGACAGACAUCAUACGAUGAAUGUUUCGAAUUUUUUUAACUAAUUAAUCAAGAAAAUCACAGUUGUGGAUGCGCCAGUGAAGCAUGAUCACAAGAACCGGCAAAGCUCCUGAAUAAAUAAAGAACACAAAAGAAGACACAUUUUUGUUUUGUUUUGAGAAAGCAAAAUAUUAUUAGCCCUUCUUUAGCGUGAGAAAAAAAGACACAUUUUUGUUUUGUUUUGAGAAAGCAAAAUAUUUGUAGCCCUUCUUUGGCGUGAGAGGUGGUAAAGAUGAAUAGAAAAAACAAUCCGUGAUCAAAUCAACAAUACAAGAGGAAACAAUCAGCAGCCUAACAAGUAAACAAGCUCACAAAGAACACAAAAGUCUGGAAAACAAAUACCCUCUAAAGGCCAAAACCCCGUACCGCACACACCCACAAGAAAACCCAAUUAUCACACAGCUUGCUACAGAACCUAUCCUGCUCCAUAGACUACUGGAGACACGAACUUUCACAUUAAUUCUAGAAAUGCAUCGUAGGCUUCAAGGAAGAGAAAAACAAACCUGGUGGACUGAACGGUGAUCGUCAAGCAUCAUAGUUUUCUUGUCAUGUCUGAACAGAACCUUCAACAAACUAUUGGAUGGUUGAGAACUCAUACUAAACUUGUGAUUUAAUAAAGAUUCAUAACACUUCAUAGCUUUCAUAGCUUCCUUAGGCUGACCAUCAUUAAAAAGCCAGUCCAUAAAUGUUGCAUUCAAAAUACCGUCAUAAGAGUUUGGACAGUGCUACUUAAGGUCGUCGAAGAGCAUGCUUGCUUUAUAUAAAUAUCCAACUUCAAGUAAACCGAAGUACACCAGUGUCCCCCCUCUUGAGGUACACCCUCCUAGAUUCUUCACAAAAACAAAAAAAAAAAAUCAAAAUAAAAUAAAAAACAAGCAGUUUUAUACAAAAGUUAGGACAAAUUACACUUACCUCCCCAAAAGUUUCACACAUACACCCCGCCUAAUUUUAUAGUGGACAAUAACCACCCCCAAGAUCUCUUAAAUCAAUAGAAACCUUCCUUUCCAACUUAACACCGUUACCUUUUCUGUUAAAACUAAAAGAACUAGUAUUUUUUGUCUGUUGAUGAAAACAAUAUUUCUUGAUUAAACUAGCUAAUAUUCCUGCCAUUGUUGGAAGCUUUACAAAUAUUUAUUUAUUUUUGUGAUAGAUGACACACUCCAUCCCUCACUUAAACGUAAGUUUGCUGAUAAAAUUAAAGCUUUCUCUUUUAAUCUGUCAUUGUUGAUUUGUGUGAACCGGAACUACCUCUAAAACCAAUAAAUACUACAAGCCUGAAUAUUACUAAAACCUCUAAACCAGAAAAUAAAUAAAUGCUAUCAAUUCAAUAUAUGCAUUGUAGGCUUCUUCAAGGUAGAGAAAAACAACCUGAUCCACUAAAUGGUGAAUCGGAGUUGACAUCCAUGGCUGUCCAGCAUAAGCCAUUUUAACUUUAUGGAAUUUGGGAGCAAAUAGAAUGUUCUGGAUAUUAAAAAAAGUCGAUUAGUUUCUAACUCAUUACAUGGGAUGUCUCAUUUUCGAACUAGUAAUCUUUAGAAUUUAAAAAUGAGUUAAUUAACCUGAUGUCUCUUAUAAAGAACAAGCGAUCCACCUGCAAGUGCGUAAGAAAGACUUUAGCCACACAAUGCAGUUCAAUAUGCAAUAAAUUGUUUUCAAGCAGUCUUUGUUGUGGUAAUAUUGUUAGAAAAAAAUAUAAAAUGAGAUGAAAAAUAUAAAUGGGCUCCCUUGUUUCUUUUGCUGGUGUUCACAUUAACGAUAGUGUCCACCCUCUUGAAGAACACCCUCGUAGAUUCUUCACCCAAAUAUAUAUAUAUAAAGUUUCUUUAGAACAAAUUAACAGUUUGAUAUAGAAUUUAGAACAAAUUACACUUGCCUCCCCUAAAGUUUCUUUAAAUGACACAUACACCCCACCUAGUUUUUUAGUGGGCAAUAACCACCCCUAAGAUCUCUUAAACAGACUAGCUUAUUGCUGCCAUUAGUGCACACUCCAUCCCUCUAAUACCAAUAAAAAUAAAUAAAGUGCAUUUGGUUGUUAGUUUAGAAAAAUGUUACCUAAUUAAUCAAGGAAAUCACAGUAGAAGCAGAUCACAUGAACGGACAAAGCUCCGGUGACCGGAAAUGGUAGACAAGCAUGAUGCAGUGAAUAACUCUGGCAACGUGAGAGAGAACAGAUCUGAACAGAUUGAUGGCGGGUGAGGACGAUGGUGGUUGACAAUGGAGGGAGCGCUGGUGAAGAAGACGGUGGUGGAAGACGGUGGUGUUGGAUGGUGGUGUGGGGAGGAAUAGAGAAAACGCAGAGAGAGUUUUCCGACAUUUGUAACAAUCUUUUUCUAUUAUAUUCACGUUAUGUUUUUAGUUUAUAUUUUUAUUUCUUUAAUUUUUGUGCCAAUAACUCAUUUUUUUUUUUUUUUAAAUAAUUAUUUUAAAAGUUGUCAUAUAAAUGGAUGUUCAAAUGACACAACUCAAAAAAAUAUUAUAAAUUGAUUUAUAAAAUUAUCUUUAAUAAAUUUACAGAAUUAAAAUAAAAGAAAAUAAUAAAUAGUUAAUGGCAUAAUUUGAGACGUUUAGUAUUUUAAUUUUUAAACCAUAUUUAUUUCUUCUUAUAACUUAUUCAAACUCCACCACGAAUAAACCAUAUCUAAUUCUUCAUAUUCAACUGCAUUUAGUUAUGGGGAACGAAUAGCUCAACCGAUUUAAGAUAGGCUUAAUUACACUUUUGGUCCUUCCAUUUUGAUCAACUCACAAAAAUGAUCCUACCUUUUUUAAAUCGAACAAAAUUGUCCUUAAAUUAUAUGUUUUUUGCAGUUUUAGUCCUAUCUCCCUGUUUCCAACUCCAGAAACGCACAGAAAUGACAGUUUUAGUCCAAUCACCUAUGCUCAACCAUGAAGUAAACAAGGAAUAAAACAUGUGGGUACAAGGAAUCUACUUUAUUCAGCACACUAAGCUAAUUUUCGAGACAUAUUACAUACCUGAAACAUGUCUUAGAAAUUAGAGUUUUUCUUGGUUUGUGUGCUGAACAAGUAGAUUCCUUUUACCCACAUGAUUUAUUCCUUGUUUAUUUUAUGGUUGAGCAUAGGUGGUUGGACUAAAAUUAUCAUUUUUGUACGUUUCUGGAGUUGGAAAUAGGGGGAGAUAUGACUAAAACUACAAAAAACAUAUAGUUUAGGGACGAUUUUGUUUGAUUUAAAAAAGGUAUGACCAUUUUCGUGAGUUGGUCAAAAUGCGAGGACAAAAAGUGUAAUUAAGCCUUUAAGAUAAUGAGUUGGAAAUCCUAGUUCAAAUCCAAACAAAGGAUAAAAAACUAAUUUAACAACUAAACACUAACAUUUUGUCAUUGAAAAAAGAAGAAGCUGCGUCUAGUUCCAUAACAUGGUUUGGACUAAACAGCUUGGGGAGUAUAUGUCGCCUCUAUUUGAUCAGCAAAAUGAAAGGCAAAGGGGACAACACUUCAGCAAUAGGAACCCAUGGAACUCCAACAAGGAAGAUUCUUCCAGAAUUUUCAUUUUAAUACACAUUGGAAGAGUGCAAACAAUGCUAUAUUUACAUGCACGGUCUAUAAUAGAGAAUAUCAAUUGAAUUAGUGUUUAUAUAAAACUGAGUUCUGAAAAAACUUUUUAUUUACUAAAACUAGUUAGCGGGGUAUAACACUGCAUACACAUAAUUUUGCAUAGAUUCCUUCCUUGACUAGGAAAAUUAAGUCUAGAUCACUUGAUAGAUUGACAGCUCAGGCAUAUCUUCUAGCAUUCAAAUUCAGCAUUGAGAGUGCAUAUCAAUUAUCAAGAGAAGAAGAAAUAAGAACUCAAGUGAUUAUAAAAGGUUGGCCUCAAAAUAUAUUUCAAUGACAACUCAAAUUAAUACAACAAAAGUAUUACAUCAUUUAUAUGCUUGUACAUGUAUCAAAAGAAACUGCAAAUUGGCAGUAGGGUGAAAUAAAAUUCCUAUCAACUACUGCAUGUAAGAUGGCUACAACAAAUACAAUAUGAGCAAAUGAAAAUUUGGGGAGGAAAAUAAAAAAUAAAAAGAAUCUUUCUUGUUGGAAAAAGAGUGCAAACUAUCUCUUUUGGAAGUUAAAGGACUUGAUUGCAACAGCGAAAAUAAAGGCAAAGCCCACGGCAAUUCCACCGACCACAAGUGCACACCAUCCUAUGAAGUCGUGUUGGAUACCAAAAAAGUCGUCAAGGAAAGUCUUUACAUCUUUUCCGCCUUCGGUCGACAUAACAGUAGUUAUAUCUCCAAAUUGAGAUGCAACCAAUCCAUAGAUGGUCCAUGCAACUGGACAUGCCCAAUAGUACCAUCUCCACCAUAUUGGAAUGCUCUGUUAUCAAAAGGCAAGAAAAAACAGUUAGGAUACAUAUAACAUACAUCCAUUGAAAAAGUCUUUCACAAUGUACUCUAUACAAAUACUUACAGGUCUCGGGACGACAAAUCCUGAAAAGAGAUUCCAAAUUGCAUAAAAUGCAGCAGCCACAAUAGAAGCAACAUGGUGAUUUGGUGUCACUGCCACAGCCAUCAUACCAUAGAAGGUGAAGUAGAGCAAUGUGAAGUACAUGAAGAAUAGAUACCACAAGAAUUUCUCUGCGGUCCAGUCAAAUCCAAUCAUGGCAUAGACUAUAACUCCAUAUAUCACCGCUUGAGCAAAGACAUAAGGUAGCUCUACCAAAAUCUGCGACAAAAAGGGUGUUGUUAAUAUUAGAUUUUCAAGUUUUCAAACUCAAUUAAGUAAUAAUCAUUUCAGCAGCGUAAACAACAAUAAUAGUUACCUGUGAAAAUGCAUAUGGUAAGGCAGAAUACAUUCCAGCAGCCUUUUCUCGAUAAAAUACAGUCCUUUCAACUGCAACCACCGGCUGCACAGAAGAAGAAUUUUGUACUCCAAGGAAGAGAACAGCGGUAUACAUUGAACCAACAGCGUUCAACAGGUCUUGUCUACUUGAGCUGCAAGUCACCAAAAGGAAUUAGAAUUACAGUGUAGAUAAAUAGAGAGACGGCAAUAUAAUAUUUGGCGAAUAAUAUGAACUUAAUUUUUAACUAUAAAUAGUUUAACUUACUGUUUUCCACCGAGGUCCCAGAACAUUGUUCCAAACAUCAAGCCUAUGAAGGUAGUGAAGAAAAACCUCACAGCAGUGUAUGGUGGAUUACGCCAAUAUGACCAACGUUGUUUCCAUAAGCAGGCCUGGCAUUGAACCAAGAAAGACUGCGAGAAUUGAGUAGGGAAAUGAAGAUCCUUUGAACCAGGAGCAGGCACGCUAAGUUCUUGAAUAAGUUGCUUGUUUCUCCUGAAGAGUCGAACCAAACAAUUUAAGCAUGUUGCAAAUCAAGAAAACAAACAUGGCACCAAUAGCUACUAUAGUUUAUAGAUUCAUAUCCAUAUCCAUAUGCAUUAGUUUACCUAUAUAAAUCUGAAUUUUUGUACAAAUCGGUAAAGUCAACACCCAAAUUAAGUUCUUGUGCUGUAGUUGUAACUUCCAACAUCCAUGUUGCUGGGUUAUAUCCAUCUUUGAUUUUACUAACUCCGUCAAUGCUCUGGACAAUGAAAGUUAUUUGAAAACUUCAGUAACCAGUUACAAUCAAGAAAGAGAGUCAUUCACUUAAGGUAAUAUUAAACUAAAGUAGGAUCCUACCUCGAAAUACUUGAUCAAAUGAGUAGAAUGACGACCCAGUGGUCCAACAUAUAUUUCUUGUCCUCCACGCUUCAUAAGGAAUAGCUAGAAGUGCAUAUGGAUAAUGUCAGAUUCAAGUCUAAUGAAGAGGAAAAGAACUAUAAAAGGAAGCUUCAUUUGUCAUUGAUAUUUAUUAUGAUUAUUCACUACAUACCUCAUCAAAUGCUUCAAAUAUGUCAAUGCUAGGUUGAUGGAUGGUACACACAACUGUUCUUCCCGUGUCCACUGUGUUCCUUACAGUUCGCAUAACAAUUGCAGCCGCUCUAGCAUCUAAACCAGAAGUAGGCUCAUCCAUGAAAAUUAUAGAUGGAUUAGCCACAAGUUCGACUGCAAUAGUCAGUCUCUUGCGCUGUUCAGUUGAGAGACCACUCACACCAGGCAAACCAACUAGAGAGUUCCUCAACGAGUUCAGCUCCACUAGAUCCAUGACUUCAUCAAUAAACAUCUGCAACCAUUUGUAAUGUUCAUUAAGUAAGGUCAACAAAUGUAAACAAAGCCACGCCGAAUAAAGCACGUGCUAACUAACCUUUCUGGUGUUGGAAUCAACUCCUGAAGGUAAACGAAGCCACGCCGAAUAAAGCAAAGACUCAUAAACUGUAACAUGCGGUGAAUGGAUAUCAUUCUGCUCACAGUAGCCAGAAAUUCUAGCAAAUGUUUCUUGCUUUUUAGGGUACCCAGAAACCUUGAUGUCUCCAUCAAUAUAUCCACCUGUUUUCCUACCAGCCAGAACAUCCAUCAGAGUUGUUUUACCAGCUCCACUUACACCCAUCAAAGCUGUGAGAACACCGGGCCUGAAUGCACCACUAACACCCUUCAAAAGCACUAAUCUGUCUUCUCUAACACCUUGCUCCUUCAUUUCCUGCCAGUUGAAAUAAAAGUCAUGUGAGAAAAGUUAUUAUUGUUUGAGAAAAUAUGAAUUGUUAAAGAUAUCUAAAAGCCGAACGUAUCAGUUUGUGCGAAUCUUACCACUGGCAUAUCAACAGAGUAUACAAUAUCAUCAAAAGUGAUAGAAUGUGGUUCAAAUGGAAGAACCAUUCCCUUUUUCUUUCCAUGGCUGGACUCUGUAACAGAAUCAGCUCUUCCUGAACUUUCUGAAAGACAAUAAGAAAAAUGUUCAGCUACUAAACUAUAUGAUAAACUACAAUAUGUUUGCCUUCAUGAGUGAUAUCUGAUAUGCAUAUAAUCAGGAAAGCUCACCAAUACGUGGUAAUUCAACUUCUUGUACGGUAGAUGAAUCAUCUUCUGAAUCUUCAGUUAUUGUUGCACUAGGCUUAUCAAAUGGGCCUAGUACAGCGAGAGCCACACCAAACGCCACGUUGAAAAGAAAGACAAAUCCAACCAAUCCCCCAACGCCUAUCCAAUACCAAUAUGCAUGUGGGAAGAACCCUCGGGUAUCGAGAUAAUCUUUUCCCAAAUCAGCAGUAGCCUAUAAUUAAGUAUAUAAAAUAAAUUAGGCUUGCAAAUUUCUCAAACAAAAGUAGAUGAAUUAUGAAGUUGCAAGCAAGCUCAAGUAAUUAAUUACAUUGUGCCAACUGUGCCCAAGAAAUUCAUUGGCCAUCAAAGCAUUCUGCCCAUACAUCAAAGGUGAGAUCCAGUAACCCCAAAUCCACCAGCCUUUGAUAUCCUCUGUUACAAUAGCAAUAAAAUGUAAGAAACAUUAAUUAGCUAAGGUUUCAUUUCCUUACAAAAAAUUAAAUUUAAUAAGAUUUUUAUCAUUUUUUGUUAAAAUUAAAUGUGUUAGUCAAUUUAACUUACUUCUUGAGAGAAUGAAGCCACCCAAUGACAGAAAUGUGAGAAGUGCAAAGGACCCAAAUGUAUUGGCAACAAUCAUGUUUCUACCCAGGGAUGCGAUGGCUCGGAACAAUCCUGAAGCCAUCUGACUCAUGAAAAACAACACAACGAACUGCUUGAACAUCCUGCCAAAAAUUCAAGACCUCACAUCAUAAGUAACACACAAAUGCAAACUAGAUAGUAGAAGUGACGUUCAAUACUACAUUCUCCAAACAGAAUAAAAGAAACUUCUUUUACCUUCCAACAUUUGGAUCAAAUCCAAUAACAUAGUAGGUAAGAAACACCCAAAGAGAAACUUCCAUUAAUGAAACGGGAAUCUUGAGAAUCCACGAAGGAAUAGCAUAUGCCCAUGAGGGAUAAAAUAGAAGGUCUCGUUGCUUGUAGUAAACAGGAAGCUUAGCAAUGGUCAUAGAAAUCUCAGACAUUCCAUUAAACAUCAUCGUUACUAGUGUGAAAAACAAAGCACCGGCAUAAACACCCGCAUCAUCCUGAUCAUUGCGAUGCAUCUCAGUCCGAAAAAACAGUGUCAUUGCUAUCAAUGCCAUGAUGAAAAGCUGAAAAACAAAGCAUGAAGAGUAAACAGUUAUGUCACAGAAAAUCAUGGUCAUGAAUGUAUAAAUGAAAAAGAAUUUCUAUUUCACUUAUAUAAAAGAGCGGGAUAGAUUCCAAACCUGAGUUAGCUUGAAGAUGUAAACAAACGAAUUCCUUUUCAUGAGCAAAUACUCUCUUGAGAAGUUAGCCUUUAAAAGCUCCGUCUUGUUGAGACCAUACUCUUUGGUGGUCAAAGCAGCUGGAUGGCUCUUCGUCUUGUCAAAUGGUACGGAAAGCUCCUCAGCAAGUUUCCUACCAAUAUGGAAGGAUUGAAACGCCUCAGCGAAUUGAGUAACAGUUACAAAUCUGUAUGGUUGAUCUCUGCGCACCCAGUACUGUGCUUGAUCCUUUUUGGAAGUUACUUCUUGAAGAAAGUCAGCAGCACCUUUCCUUUCAGGACAUUUGAAACCCAUUGUUUCAAAAAAGUCAAGAACAUAUUCGCGGGGGCCAUGGUAUACAACUUGGCCAUCAGAAAUUAAGAUAAUGUCAUCAAAAAGAUCAUAAGUCUCAGGUGCUGGUUGGAGCAGUGAUAUAACUGCAGUGCCAUUCAUAAUGUGAACAUAUUGUCUCAGAGAGCUCACAAUCUGAAAAGUAGUGGAACUGUCCAGCCCAGUAGAAAUUUCAUCCAUGAACAAUGCAUUGGCUGGUCCAACCAACAUCUCUCCUGUAGUUACACGCUUCCUCUGUCCUCCAGAGAUACCACGUAACAUUUCAUCUCCCACCAUGGUAUCCGCGCAUAUAUCCAACCCCAAAAUCUACAAAAUUAUACAAUAUAAAACUUAAUACCGUUGGCUUGUAAAAAAUUCAACAUACAACAUGAAACAUAACUUUAUUAUGGCAUGCAAGACAUGAUAAAGCCCAUGCAAGGACAAUGUAAAUUGGGAGUAACCAAUAAAAAAUGCAAUGAGUUUAAUUUUGAUACAUUGUCAAUUAAAAAGUUUUAUACUGUCAACUAAUCACUUUAUUAGUACUUAUGAAUAAAGUCGGACGUUUUUAUUGAACUGGCGAUUAUGAGAGGCUAAGUAUAAUAAUUGAACUAUAUUUAAGUCUUACCUUGAGUACAUAAUCUGUUGAAAUGCUAUACUCCUGACCUUCAGUUGCAAUUGCCUGUUAUAUCAAAAUAAAAUUAGAGAUGCAAAGAUAGUAUAGUAUAUCAAUUACUAUACCAUUACCGAUAUUGAUUGAUAAUAGCUUAUUUAAUGCAUACCUUCAUGUAGACAUCAAUAUCUGGGUCAGGCUUAAUGUUUGCUGCCUUCUCUCUUCUAGAAAGCUCGGAUAGCAUGUCUGUUGGAUCCCAAAAAUAAUUAACAAGUUAAGCUUUAGCCACAUUUCAAAUUAGAUUUUAAAAAACAUUAACUAGGUAGUAAAAAUAGACUAACCAUAACGUGAUCCAACUCCUUGGCACCUUGCUGAGAAAGCCAAGGUUUCCCUCACAGUCAUUUCUCCAAUAUGAACAUCAUGUUGGCUUAUAUAGGCAGCAGUUCUUUGAGGUACAAACUCAUUCAGUCCAUGGCCAUUGUAAGUCACACUCCCAGUUAGCUGUACAAAUUAAGCAUUCGGCAUCCAAGUUAGAUAAUUUUAGAUAUAAAGUUUACCACCUUUGAUCUACAAGUGAGUUAUAUGAUUUUAUUUACCUGGAGACUUGGAUCAAGCUUUCCAGAUAAGGCUAAAAGAAGUGUGGUCUUUCCUGAACCAGGAGGACCUAAAAGUAGUGUCAUCCUACGAGGUUUAACGAUUCCGCUAACAUCUUUAAGAAUUGACACAUGCCUCUUUUUGGUUGGGAUGAUAUGAAGAAAAUUCAAUACCCCCUGAAAAAAAAAGAUAUAUAUAUAUAUAUAUAUAUAUUUUUAUUUGGGAGACUCAACUGCAAAAAUAAAAAAAAUAGAAAUAGAAAAAGCCUUCAGCAUCAAUUUUCAGGUUCUGAUAUCUAUCCCUACCUCUACAACAUUAGUAGCAGCAUUAAUGAAACUAGGCAAAGCUCUACUUCCCACAAACGCUUCAGCAUCAAUUUUCAGGUUCUGGUAUCGAACUUCAAUUGUUGGAAUAUCAAGUCCAACUCUAUAAUGAGAAGAAAAAACACAAAACAUGUUGAGUUAUGAGAGAAAUAAGAUCAAAAGAAAACAAUGAAGCAAAAAAAGUACAUUUUCUAUAAUAGUUACCUAUCAACUCUUUCCUUGACCUUCAACAGAAACCUUUCAUUAUCCUCUUCAGCAACCUUAACCAACCUCUCCAAAAGUUUCUGCUUUUCUUGAAAAGCAAGAUCACCAACAUCAACUUCAUGAGCACCUCCAUGAGAAGCUGUCAACAAACCUUUUCUUAGACGAUUAUAAGUAGGUAGCUUUUCAAGUGCAGCCCAUUUGAGAGCUUCUUCAUCAUCUUCUUCUCGAGAUGAUUUAGAGAAAACCUCAACUCCACUCUGUCUCCAAACAGUUGAACUUCUUGCUCUUAAACUAUUAGUAGCUCUGUAUAUAUCAGUCCCUUCCAUUUUUGCUGUUAUGAAACAGCUUUAACACAAGCUUGUGUGUUUCUGAUUUUUCUUUUUAAGACAAUGUUAUUAUGAAUUGAACCCAAACAAUAAACUAAAUGAAGUGUAGAAUAUAAUGAAAGAAUGAAAGAAUGAUGAAUGGAAAAAAACUUGUUGUAUUGAUGUUUCUUUGUGGAAAAGGAAAUGAAUAUGGAAUGAGAAAACAUGUUUGUAUAUAUACUACCUUUGAUUCCAAAGAAGUGGCGGCAAUGGAGAGUCAAACGUUGAAAUUUACGUGUUUUUUAGAAGGGACAGGAGAGAAAUAUAUGUCAAAUGGUCAAAUAAUGAAGGAGGACUAGACUAGGCAUCUUGGUUGGUCAUCAUGAGGAAACUUCGUCCUACAUGACAUGUUAAGGUGUCUAACUUGUUGUGGGCCCUAUUCAGAGUAAAGUGCACGGCCUUCUCGAACAAAGUAGGUUCUAAACAUUAAAUCAAACUAUUAUGUGAUCACAUUCUUCAAAAUCAAUUCAUAAAACAUCUGCAAUAUCUAUUUUACAUUAAUGAUUACAUGCAUUUUUUUUUGGUAGAAAAGUUUUAUACUUUCGCUACAUAAAAAUUAAUCUUUGCAAAUAAUUCAAAAAAUGAAAUCAGGGCAAUAUAUUUUUCAUAGAUAUUAUAGGACUAAAACAAGUCGGCUUAAGCCAUAUUAUACAACGAAAAAUAAUAGAGAAAUAAAUACUACUAAUAAGAAUCAAAUCAAAGAAAAAACAAGAGAAUACCAUUCCAAUAAAAAAAACGGUAGUUAGGAAUCAACUAUAAUUAUCUCAGCAGCGACGUCAUUUCUUUUCAUGUUUCAAAAAACAUAAUGUUUGAAAAGUUGGAAUUUCACAUGUUUACUGUUUUAUAGUCCUCACUUCCAAAAUAUUGACAACUAGAACAAUCAUAACCUUGACAUUUAACUCGUGUAUAUUUUUUUUGCUCCAAACAUAACUUUUUUUUUCCAACCAAGUUUAACGGUUUUUUCUUGUGUGUAAAGUUUCACGGUUUUAUUGACCGAAAAAAAAAAAAAUCAGUAAUUUGAUCAUUUAUUUUGAUGGUCUAUUUAUAGACAAAAUACACUAUUAGAAGUGUGCUUAUGGUAAAUCACCCUUUUAUUAAUAAUAGUUUAGUAAAAGUGUUAUAUCUAAUGAUUAUUUCAUUCCAUUUUUUAAUCCGUGUGCAAAUUGGCUAAAGCGACAUUCAUUUUAAAACGGAGGGAGUAAUAUUUUUACGGGAGAGAGAGAGAGAGAAAAAAAAAAAUUAGUUGAAUUGACGUAUGUAUCACAGUUGCGUUGACCAAUGUCAUGUAACAUUCAUGCAUUUAUGGUACACAAAUGGAAUCCGUCGGUUAUAGAGUAAAUAAGAAAAUUCAUUUGAAAUUCCAAAAAAGGAAAAAAAAAAUCUUUCUUGAAAUCGUUAGAUGUUAAGCAACUUGUCUUCCGUAAGUUUUUUCUAUAUGUACGUGAAAGUUUAUUGUCUACGUGAUAUGACAUGUCAUGUCAGUCACAUUGGCAAUUUGAUUAGUUUUUUUUUUUUUAAUUUGAUUUUUUUUUAAAGAUUACGAGCAAAUUCUCUCUUGAAAUGGUAUACUUAUAUGCAAAAUUUGUCCUUUUGGUGACUCGAUUCGACUUGAGUGUAGAACUAAAAAAAUACAACUCUCUCCACGUAAAAGACCUCUCGUUCUUUCGGUAAAUGAUAAAAAAAGAAACUCACUCUAAAACUUUUUUUUCUUAACAUAGUUAGCUUGAUUGAUAUUUCAUUACUUUGUUUUCCCUGUAAAUUGAUAAUCAUCUUUGAAACAUGUCAGAUAUUAAAUAUGAAUAUCUCUCUUAUUUUAUAUUUAAACUUUGGUUCACUAUGUUGUAAAAGUCUAACUUCUCCACUAAAUCCAACCCACUCAUUCAAUAUAGUUACUCUAAUGCUUAACAUCACUAUGAGAAAUCACAUUCAAAAGCAUUUGUAUAAUUUCAAUAUUUGCUGCUUAUACCGCCAAAAUAUUUGUUUACUUUAAAAAAAUAUGUUGAUAGAUUUUAAUUGGUGGCUGAUGUAUGAUACAAUUCUUAGAAUGAAUCAAUGUUUGGUAUGUAUCAUAAGUUUAAGAUAACAAAAUCCUCUAAAUUAACAAAUUACCCUAUGAAAUUGAAGUUUGUUAAUCUAUUUAGCCUCUCUUAGGAUCAAUUUCGAAGAAUCUAAAUGACAAAAUCCUUUACUCUUUAAUCUUAUUAGGUUUGCAACAACUAAACCUAGAAAAUUCCCUCCAAAUGAUUCACAUUAAUUGCUAAGUGCUAACCCUAAUUAUGUAUUUUCUUCCAACACUUCUUCAAUUUGAAAUUCAAAAAAUUUUGUUAGGAACCAUGAACUGCAUUAAAUUACAUUUAUUGCUAUAUCCCUUGAAAAAUACGGAGCUCUUCAACCGAGCGCACAUCUUCAAAAUAAUUAAUACACUGUAUAAGAUCUCUUCUAUUAUUAAAUUCUAUGAUAUAUGCAGAUAUGAUAUGUAUUUGGUUGGAAAAAUAUAUUAUUACUUUUAGUAAAUAUCAAAGUGUAAUUAUUCCUUUUAGAGCUGUAUGUGUAGUUUAGAAAUUCUAUUAAUUGAAGUGACUUUGUUUUUCAUGUUAGUAGAAAUUUAAAACAAUUAUUACAUGUCAAUUUUUUGUUUAACUAUAAAAGUAAUAAAAUAAAUAAAAUUGACCCGUGCAACAAUAUAAUAUUGUAUCUUUUUUAUUUAUAAUUUAAAAAAUAACGUGAAGAUAAUGCCCCAAUAAUAUAUUGUGAUAAAAUAAAAUAACAGUCUUUAAUUAAUUAGCUUUUCAGAACUAAGAUGUAAAAUUUGAUAAGAUUCAAGUGUCAUUGAAGGACAUAGUAAGAAAAAUUUGAUUGUAAUAUUGUAUCUCUAAUAAUCUAAUUUGCGUUUAUUGAUCGAUAUCUUACGGGUUAAAGAUUAUUCAUUUGUCUCUAUUAUAGCCGACAAGACCCGUGCGUCGCACGGGUCAAAAGUCUAGUAAAUAUAAAUGAAAGUACUUAUAAAAUUUCUUGAAAUAAUAUAGUACUUUAAUUGAAGAUGUCCUUAACAUGUUAACUAAAUGAAAGUACAUUAUAAACCAAUCAUAAAUUGUUAUAUCGUUAAGUUUGAUUUUAGUCAAAACUACCUUAGAAUCAUGCAUUAUAUGAUUUAUACUGUUUUUAAGGGAUUUACAAUUAUUAGUUGACUAUGAAAGAAAAUUUACACAAAGCACAAUUUAUCAAAAAAAAAAAAAAUUUGAGAAAGAAGCACAGAGUAUCAAAAUUAAACUCUAAAUAUUUGUACCAAAAAGAAAAAAACUCUAUAAAUAUAACAUUUUGUCUCCUUAAAAAAAACAUUGUCAAAAGAAGAAUGCUAGCAACACUAUUUUUUUAGCACUCUAUUUAAUACUUACUUUAUCAUUGGAUGAAAUCAAUGUGGACUCCACUAUUUAUAUGGAAUCCAUUUCCAAAAUGUAGGAUCACAUUGAUUUCAUAUAAUGAAUUGUGAAUAUGGGGUGGCUUUAUGCUAAGUUACAAUAACAUUUCUUUGUUAGAAUAACAUCUUAGAUAGAAAAUAAUCAAGAAGUGAAGAAACAAAGGGAUAUACAAACAAUAUUUGGUAACACCUUGUAAUUCCUUUUUUUUUUUUUAUUAUUUCCAGUUUAGGGUUUACAUACACCUUGUAUUUAAAUAGCACGGUUCACAUUAUAUUAUCCCCUUCCCACUUAAAACAAUUCGUUUCGCUUAACUAUGAGUCAUACAACUUUUGCAUAACAUAAUAAGACUAGUAAAGCAACAUGAAGAAAACCAAAAUGCGCCAGUCCAAAAGUUACACAGCUCUUCAUUACAAAACAAUUAUGUAUAUGCACCAAAUUUGAAGAGGCUGAAUUUAAUAUUCCAGCCUUGUCACACAGGACAUAUUUGACAGUUGAUGCAAAUAACUUCUUGUAUGCAAAUUCAGUAUUAAGUUGAACAAUAUCAAUUAUCAAAGGAACUUAGAAUUAAGAACUCAAAAAUGAGCAUAAAAGGCUGGUCUAAAAAAAUACACUAUCUUUCAUUGAUGAUCAAAAUGAUAAUACAAAAUUAUUGUCUUAUUCAAAUUCAAAUGCUUGUACAUUUAUAAAGGAAGCUUUAAAUUGUGUCAAACAAAGGGGAAAUAAAUUUCCUAAGAAACUAAGGCAUGGGAUAUAGAUACAGGUAUUAUACAAGCUAGGAAAAAUUGGGGAGGGAAAAUAAAAAAUAAAAAGAAUCUUUCUUGUUGGAGAAAGAGUGCAAACUAUCUCUUUUGGAAGUUAAAGGACUUGAUUGCAACAGCGAAAAUAAAGGCAAAGCCCACGGCAAUUCCACCGACCACAAGUGCACACCAUCCUAUGAAGUCGUGUUGGAUACCAAAAAAGUCGUCAAGGAAAGUCUUUACAUCUUUUCCGCCUUCGGUCGACAUAACAGUAGUUAUAUCUCCAAAUUGAGAUGCAACCAAUCCAUAGAUGGUCCAUGCAACUGGACAUGCCCAAUAGUACCAUCUCCACCAUAUUGGAAUGCUCUGUUAUCAAAAGGCAAGAAAAUGGUUAGGAUACAUAUAACAUACAUCCAUUGAAACAGUCUUUCACAAUGUACUAUAUACUAAUACUUACAGGUCUUGGGACGACAAAUCCUGAAAAGAGAUUCCAAAUUGCAUAAAAUGCAGCAGCCACAAUAGAAGCAACAUGGUGAUUUGGUGUCACUGCCACAGCCAUCAUACCAUAGAAGGUGAAGUAGAGCAAUGUGAAGUACAUGAAGAAUAGAUACCACAAGAAUUUCUCUGCAGUCCAGUCAAAUCCGAUCAUGGCAUAGACUAUAGCUCCAUAUGUCACGGCUUGGGCAAAGACAUAAGGCAACUCUACCAAAAUCUGUAAUAAAGAGGGAGUUGUUAAUAUGAGAAUUUUCAGUUUGCAAACUAAAUUAGUAGUAGUAGUAGUUGUAGUAGUAGUAGUAAUAGUUUUAGUAAUAGUUAUAAUAAUAGUAAUGUCAGUAGAUUAAACAAUGAUAAUAGUUACCUGUGAAAAUGCAUAGGGUAAGGCAGAGUACAUUCCAGCAGCUUUUUCUCUAUAAAAUACAGUUCUUUCCACUGCAACCACGGGCUGCACAGAAGAAGAAUUUUGUACUCCAAGGAAGAGGACAGCGGUAUACAUUGAACCAACAGCGUUCAGAAGGUCUUGUCUACUUGAGCUGCAAGUCACCAAAAGGAAUUAGUAUUCCAGCGUAGAUAAACAGAGGGAGAUGACAAAAUAUAAUAUUUUGUCAAUAUUAUGAACUUAUUUUUUAAUUAAAAGUAGUUUGUUUGACUUACUGUUUUCCACCGAGGUCCCAGAACAUUGUUCCAAACAUCAAGCCUAUGAAUGUAGUGAAGAAAAACCUCACAGCAGUGUAUGGUGGAUUACGCCAAUAUGACCAACGUUGUUUCCAUAAGCAGGCCUGGCAUUGGACCAAGAAAGACUGCGAGAAUUGAGUAGGGAAAUGAAGAUCCUUUGAACCAGGAGCAGGUACGCUAAGUUCUUGAAUAAGUUGCUUGUUUCUCCUGGAGAGCCAUACAAAAUAGUUUAAGCAGGUAGCAAAUAAGAAAAACAAACAUGACAACAAUAGCUUCUAUAGUUGAUUGAUUAAUAUCUGUAUGCAUUAGUUUACCUAUAUAGAUCAGAAUUUUUGUACAAGUCAGUGAAAUCAACGCCCAAAUUAAGUUCUUGUGCGGUAGUUGUAACUUCCAACAUCCAUGUUGCUGGGUUAUAUCCGUCUUUGAUUUUACUCACUCCGUCAAUGCUCUGCAACGAAAGUUAUUUGAAAAUUUCAGUAACUAAUUACAAUCAAGAAAUAGAGUCAUUCCCGUAAGGUAAUACUUCAUUUAAGUAGAGGAUCCUACCUCAAAAUACUUGAUCAAAUGAGUAGAAUGACGACCCAAUGGUCCAACAUAUAUUUCUUGUCCUCCACGUUUCAUAAGGAAUAGCUAGAAAUGCAUAUGUAUAAUAUGUCAGAUUCAAGUCUAAUGAAGAGGAAAAGAACUAAAAAAGGCAGAUUCAUUUGUCAUUAAUAUUUUUUAUGACCAUUCACUACAUACCUCAUCAAAUGCUUCAAAUAUGUCAAUGCUAGGCUGAUGGAUGGUACACACAACUGUUCUUCCUGUGUCCACUGUGUUCCUUACAGUUCUCAUAACAAUUGCAGCAGCUCUAGCAUCUAAACCAGAAGUAGGCUCAUCCAUAAAAAUUAUAGAUGGAUUAGCCACAAGUUCAACUGCAAUAGUCAGUCUCUUGCGCUGUUCAGUUGAGAGACCACUCACACCAGGCAAACCAACUAGAGAGUUCCUCAAUGAGUUCAGCUCCACUAGAUCCAUGACUUCGUCAAUAAACAUCUGCAACCAUUUGUAAUGUUCAUUAAGUAAGGUAAACGAAGGUAAACAAAGCCACGCCGAAUAAACCAUGUACUAACUAACCUUUCUGGUGUUGGAAUCAACUCCUGAAGGUAAACGAAGCCACGCUGAGUAAAGCAAAGACUCAUAAACUGUAACAUGAGGUGAAUGGAUAUCAUUCUGCUCACAGUAACCGGAGAUUCUAGCAAAUGUUUCUUGCUUUUUAGGAUACCCAGAAACCUUGAUGUCUCCAUCAAUAUAUCCACCUGUUUUCCUACCAGCCAGAACAUCCAUCAGAGUUGUUUUACCAGCUCCACUUACACCCAUCAAAGCCGUAAGUACACCAGGCCUGAAUGCGCCACUAACACCCUUCAAAAGCACUAAUCUGUCCUCUGUAACACCUUGCUCCUUCAUUUCCUGCCAGUUGAAAUAAAAGUCAUGUGAGAAAAAUCAUUUUUGUCUGAGAAAAUAUGAAUUGUUAUACAUAUCUAAAAGCUGAACAUAUCACUUUGUGCGAGUCUUACCGCUGGCAUGUCAACAGAGUAUACAAUAUCAUCAAAAGUGAUAGAAUGUGGUUCAAAUGGAAGAACCAUUCCCUUUUUCUUUCCAUGGCUGGAUUCUGUAACAGAAUCUCUUCUACCUGAACUUUCUGAAAGACAAUAGGAAAAAUGUUCAGCUACUAAACUAUAUGAUAAACUACAAUAUGUUUGCCUUCAUGAGUGAUAUGCAUAUAAUCAAGAAAGCUCACCAAUACGUGGUAAUUCAACUUCUUGUACGGUAGAUGAAUCAUCUUCUGAAUCUUCUUCAGUUAUUGUUGCACUAGGCUUAUCAAAUGGGCCUAGUACAGCGAGAGCCACACCAAAUGCCGCGUUGAAAAGGAACACAAAUCCAACCAAUCCCCCAACGCCUAUCCAAUACCAAUAUGCAUGUGGGAAGAACCCUCGGGUAUCGAGAUAAUUUUUUCCCAAAUCAAAAGUAGCCUAUAAUUAAGUAUAUAAAAUAAAUCAGGCUUGUAAAUUUCUCAAACAAAAGUAGAUGAAUUAUAAAGUUGCAAGCAAGCUCAAGUAAUUACAUUGUGCCAACUGUUCCCAAGAAAUUCAUUGGCCAUCAAAGCAUUCUGCCCAUACAUCAAAGGUGAGAUCCAGUAACCCCAAAUCCACCAGCCUUUGAUAUCCUCUGUUUUCAAUAGCAAUAAAAUGUAAGAAACAUUAAUUACCUAAGGCUUCAUGUCUUUACAAAAAAUUAAAUUUAACAACAUUUUUAUCUUUUUUUGUUAAAAUUAAAUGUGUUAGUCAAUUUAACUUACUUCUUGAGAGAAUGAAGCCACCCAAUGCAAGAAGUGUGAGAACUGCAAAGGACCCAAAUGUAUUGGCAACAAUCAUGUUUCUACCCAGGGAUGCGAUGGCUCGGAACAAUCCUGAAGCCAUCUGACUCAUGAAAAACAACACAAGGAACUGCUUGAACAUCCUGCCAAAAUUCAAGACCUCACAUCAUAAGUAACAUCAAAUGCAAACAAGAUAGAAGUGGCAUUCAAUACCACAUGCUCCAAACAGAAUAAAAGAAAUUUCUUUUACCUUCCAACAUUUGGAUCAAAUCCAAUAACAUAGUAGGUAAGAAACACCCAUAGAGAAACUUCCACUAAUGAGAUGGGAAUCUUGAGAAUCCACGAAGGAAUAGCAUAUGCCCAUGAGGGAUAAAAUAGAAGGUCUCGUUGCUUGUAGUAAACAGGAAGCUUAGCAAUGGUCAUAGAAAUCUCAGACAUUCCAUUAAACAUCAUCGUUACCAGUGUGAAAAACAAAGCACCAGCAUAAACACCCGCAUCAUCCUGAUUAUUGCGAUGCAUCUCAGUCCGAAAAAACAGUGUCAUUGCUAUCAAUGCCAUGAUGAAAAGCUGAAAAACAAAGCAUGAAGAACAAACCGUUAUGUCACAGAAAAUCAUGGUGAUGAAUGUAUAAAUGAAAAAGAAUAUCUACUUGCUUAUAUUUAUAAAAAGAGCGGGAUAGAUUCCAAACCUGAGUUAGCUUGAAGAUGUAAACAAAGGAAUUUCUUUUCAUGAGCAAAUACUCUCUUGAGAAGUUAGCCUUUAAAAGCUCCGUCUUGUUGAGACCAUACUCUUUGGUGGUCAAAGCAGCUGGAUGGCUCUUCGUCUUGUCAAAUGGUACGGAAAGCUCCUCAGCAAGUUUCCUACCAAUAUGGAAGGAUUGAAACGCCUCAGCGAAUUGAGUAACAGUUACAAAUCUGUAUGGUUGAUCUCUGCGCACCCAGUACUGUGCUUGAUCCUUUUUGGAAGUUACUUCUUGAAGAAAGUCAGCGGCACCUUUCCUUUCAGGACAUUUGAAACCCAUUGUUUCAAAAAAGUCAAGAACAUAUUCGCGGGGGCCAUGGUAUACAACUUGGCCAUCAGAGAUUAAGAUAAUGUCAUCAAAAAGAUCAUAAGUCUCAGGUGCUGGUUGGAGCAGUGAUAUAACUGCAGUGCCAUUCAUAAUGUGAACAUAUUGUCUCAGAGAGCUCACAAUCUGAAAAGUUGUGGAACUGUCCAGCCCAGUAGAAAUUCAUCCAUGAACAAUGCAUUGGCUGGUCCAACCAACAUCUCUCCUGUAGUUACACGCUUCCUCUGUCCUCCAGAGAUACCACGUAACAUUUCAUCUCCCACCAUGGUAUCCGCGCAUAUAUCCAACCCCAAAAUCUACAAAAUUAUACAAUAUACAACUUAAUACCGUUGGCUUGUAAAAAAAUUCAACAUACAACAUGAAACACAACUUUAUUAUGGCAUGCAACACAUGAUAGAGCCCAUGCAAGGACAACGUAAAUUGGGAGUAGCCAAUCAAAAAUGCAAUGAGUUUAGUUUUGAUACAUUGUCAAUGUAAAAAGUUUCAUUGUCAACUAAUCACUUUAUUAGUACUUCUGAUUAAAGUCAGUUGUUUUUAUUGAUCUGGCGAUUAUGAGAGGAUAAGUAUAAUAAUUGAACUAUAUUUAAGUCUUACCUUGAGUACAUAAUCUGUUGAAAUGCUAUACUCCUGACCUUCAGUUGCAAUUGCCUGUUAUAUCAAAAUAAAAUUAGAGAUGCAAAGAUAGUAUAGUAUAUCCAAUUACUAUACCAUUACCGAUAUUGAUUGAUAAUAGCUUAUUUAAUGCAUACCUUCAUGUAGACAUCAAUAUCUGGGUCAGGCUUGAUAUUUGCUGCCUUCUCUCUUCUAGAAAGCUCGGAUAGCAUGUCUGUUUAACAAGUUAAGCUUUAGCCACAUUUCAAAUUAGAUAUUAAAAAACAUUAACAAGGUAGUAAAAAUAGACUAACCAUAACGUGAUCCAACUCCUUGGCAUCUUGCUGAGAAAGCCAAGGUUUCUCUCACAGUCAUUUCUCCAAUAUGAACAUCAUGUUGGCUGAUAUAAGCCGCAGUUCUUUGAGGUACAAACUCGUUCAGUCCAUGGCCAUUGUAAGUCACACUCCCAGUUAGCUGUACGAAUUAAGAAUUCGGCAUCCAAAUUAAAUAAUUUUAGAUAUAAAGUUUACCACCUUUGAGCUACUAAUGAGUUAUAUGAUUUUAUUUACCUGAAGACUUGGAUCAAGCUUUCCAGAUAAGGCUAACAGAAGCGUGGUCUUUCCUGAACCAGGAGGACCUAAAAGUAGUGUCAUCCUACGAGGUUUAACAAUUCCGCUAACAUCUUUAAGAAUUGCCACAUGCCUCUUUUUGGUUGGGAUGAUAUGAAGAAAAUUCAAUACACCCUGAAACAAAGAAAGAUAUAUUUUGGUUACUUGUGAGACUUAAAUGCAAAAGCAAAACAGAUCGAAGAAAGAAAAAACUUCAGUCAUUUUAUGAAGUACUAUAAUUUUUUUUUUCACUCCUUACCUCUAUAACAUUAGUAGCAGCAUUGAUGAAACUAGGCAAAGCUCUACUUCCCACAAACGCUUCAGCAUCAAUUUUCAGAUUGUUAUAUCGAACUUCAAUUGUUGGAAUAUCAAGUCCAACUCUGUAGUAAGAAGGAAAAACACAACAUGAUUAGUAAAUGACUUAUGACAUAAGAAACUGAUUAAUAAGGGCAUGCUUAAAUUGACUUAUUUUAGUUUAUCUACAUCUAUAAACUCUCCAUAAUAGUUUCUGAAAACAGCUUAUACCAUAUAGAGAAACAAUUUCACUUUAGAUUUGAUCUUUUGUUUAAGAAAUAGCUUAUGGAAUGUCCAUGAGCUGGUUUUAGCUUAUUUCCAUAAACUCUCCAUGAUAACUUCUGAAAACAACUUAUAGCUUAUCAUCAAAACAAUUUUAACUUUAAAUUUGAUCUUUUGUUAAAGAAAUAUCUUAUGAACAUAUCCAUAAGCUGUUUUCCAUGAUAGCUUUUGAAAACAGCUUAUAUCUUACGUGAAAACAGAAUAACUUAGAAAUCAAGCAAACAAAAAAGUAUUUAUCAACAUACCUAUCAACUCUCUCCUUAACCUUCAACAGAAACCCUUCAUUAUCUUCUUCAGCAACCUUAACCAACCUCUCCAAAAGUUUCUGUUUAUCUUGAAAAGCAAGAUCACCAACAUCAACUUCAUGAGCACCACCAUGAGAAGCUGUCAACAACCCUUUUCUUAGACGAUUGUAAGUAGGUAGUUUUUCAAGGGCAGCCCAUUUAAGAGCUUCUUCAUCAUCUUCUUCACGUGAAGAUUUAGAGAAAACCUCAACUCCACUUUGUCUCCAUACAGUUGAACUUCGAGCUCGUAAACUAUUUGUUGCUCUGUAUAUAUCUGUUCCCUCCAUUUUUUGUGCUGUUGUGAAACAGCUUUAACACAAGCUUGUUCUUGUUUUUUUGAAAAUUAAUAAGACAAGACACUAUGAAAGAAUCAAAGAAUGAUGAAGAAAGAGAAGUGUUUUGUUUUGUUACUAUUUUGAGGAUUGUGUUUUGUGAAAAAAUGAAUAUGGGAAUGGGAAAAUAUGUGUGUAUUUAUAUUGUUUGAUUUUUGAUUCCAAAAAAUCUGGCGGCCAUUGAAAAGUCAAAUGUUAAGAGUUUAUAAGAAAUAAUUUAUUUAAAAAAGAAAUUAUUAUAUAAAGGAGUCAGUAAUGGAGACCGUACUGAAAAAGAAAUGAUUUCAUUUUUAGUGGUCAAAUAAAGUACUUUAGUUAACCGGUGAAUAGUGAUUAGUGAAUAAUAACGGGUCCUAAAGUAAAGAACACGGGUCAUAUGAUCUACUAUUAUGUAAUGAGAAAGCCAAAUGAUAUUUCAACAACUAUUUUUUGACAAUUUUCUCUUUUAUAUUCACAUUAUUAUUUUAUUUUAUCUCUCUAUUGCUUUGAUUUUUGUGUCACUGCCUAAAUUUCUUUGUAUAAUUUAGUUGUCCAAAAAAUUGUCACAAUAAAUGGUUGUUCAAAUAACAUUGCUCAUGAUGUAACUAUAAGUAGGGAUGAAAUUAGUUCAAGUCGUUGUAUAAGAGUUUCAGGUCGACCCAAUGUAUUUGUAGUCUUAAAGCGAAUUUUAAAAAUUUGGAGGUCUAAAACCCUUGCUUUAGUGGCAGCUUCUUUAAACUGGUCCUGAUGGGUUUAUGAUAUAAUUUACGACAAGACAGGUCAGGUCAGUUUUUUUUCUUAAAUACGGAAGAUUUAAACUUUUUUAAAAAGUUUAUUAAGUUAAAAAAGUCAGGUCACAAGCCAUAUAAAAACCUUUUAAAUCUAUAAGGUCGUCUUACAUAGAUAAAUAUGAAUAAUAUUGUUUAUUACUAAUAUUAUUAUAUUAUAUUUUGUACUUCGAAUUAUAUUAUAAAUUUCUUAAUAUUUUCAGUAAUUUAUGUUUAUUAAUACACAUUAAUUUGUUUUGCAUAUCUAAGUGUAUUAUUAUAAACUAUAAUUAAAAUAUGAUUUUGAUUACUUAGUUGAUGGUGUUCAUAUGGAAUAAACUUUUAAAAUGUCUAACAAGUCAGAUCAAAUUUUCAAAAGGUCAAACACAUGUCUAAAAGAUAAACCUGUAACAAAUUGCAUGUCAUACUUACGUCUUAAAUUUUUUGACAAGUCAAACUUAAGUUUUUCAAAGACUAACUUGGUAUAAGCUAUUCUCAUCUCUACUACUAAGUUUCAGCAGUGAAGUUUAUAUUCUUCACUUUUCUACACUUGAAUGUACUCCCUCAUAUCUCUUUUUGGUCAAAAAAUUCUAAUAUAAAAUUUUUAUUCGUGUUUUUUAACGUUUAUGUUUAGGGCAUAACUUAGCAGAAUAUUUUUUUUAAUAUUUUAUUUUUUGGUUAAGCAGUUUGACUAAAAUUCAUCUUUUUUAAAGUGAAUAAGUGGGAGUUCGGAGUUCGAACCUCGGCCAUAUAAUAAUGUAUGUCUCUGUCAACUGAGCUAUGUUUACGGGAAUUUUUUUUUUUUUAAUAUUAGUAGUGGUUAUUAUCACAAUCAAAGCACGGCGGCUAAGGCUAAGCUCACUCAUUGAGAAAUGCUUAAAAAUUCAUAAAGCAAAACCCACACAUUGGUGUUAUUCGGCAAACACACUAGAAAGAAUAUUAAUAGAAUAUGAAAAGCAAAAAAAAAAACAGAAAAAUAUCCCUCUAAAGUCUAAAUGUACUAAAAAAACCCAAAACAUGAGAAAACUACCCAAUAAAAAGCGGUGAGUUAAUCAAGGACACCACCGACUAGUACGGCUGUAAAGUUACUUACACUAUACCAUCGAUCCGUACCAACGCAUGAGUCAUAUUGAAGGUAAUAUUUGACGGUAAUAUAUAGGUAAUAAAUAGUUUAGAUCAAUGUCAUGAUUGUCAUAUAGUAUUUCAUAAUAUUAAGAAGCAUAGACGUUGGUACUGUACCAUAACAUAAUAUUUUCAUGACAUCGUCCUUGGUACCGUAACGUAACAUAAUAGGUUAAGUAUAACGAGUCGAGUUAACAUUUAUAAGUAAGAGAUUAAGUUAAGUAUAGCGAGACAUGUUAACGGUUAUUCCUUUCUAAGAAAAUAUCAUCAUAUCUAAUUAGGAACAUAAUUUUAUUUUACUUUAGAUAAACAUUAAAUACAAAAAUAUAGAAGAAAAAAUUAGGUUAAAUAUACCGAGACGGAUUAACAUUUAUAAGUAAAAGGUGAGAGAUACACUAUGUGUUAUUUUCAUUUCAUGUAAAGUUUUAAAUUUAAUUAGUUGGAAAAAGAUAUAGGUUCUUCUAAAGAAAAAGGAAAAAGAUAGAAUACAAGAUAUGACAAUGACAUUGUCUAAAAGCAGAACCUCACAUAAAAUCCCUUUGAUAUAAAUCUGGAGGAAGCAGCAAUAAUAUCAAAAAAUUAAGGGUUAAUAGGACUUUACUCCCUGUAAUAUAGGUCAUUUUUGGUUUUGUCCCCUGUAAAAAAAAAAUUUUAGAUUUGGUCCUUGUAAAAAAAUUUUGUUUUGGAAAACCCCCCUAAACCAGCUGACUGUGUAUUUUGCUGAUGUGGCAUGCUCCGUCUCCUUUUUUGGAUGACGUGGCGGGCUGACUGUAUAAUUAUUUUUUAUUUUUUUUUAUAGGAUACACGUGGCAUUAAUGAUUUUUUUUUUAAAAAAAAUAUUAUAAAAAAUAAAAUAAAUUCUGGAAAAAUAAAAAUGAUUAAAAAAACGAAAAUAAUUAUGGAAAAAUAAAAAAAAUUUAAAAAAAAUUUAAAAAUUCUAGUAAAAUCUAGAAAAUUUAAUAAAAAAAUCUGGAAAAAAAAAAAAAAAUUAAUAUAUAUCAAAAUUUUCAAUAAAAUUAUUAAAAAAAAAUCUGAUUUAAAUUAAAAUUAUAAAAAAAUCGAAAUUCUAUAUAAAAAAAUUAAUGUAUAUCGAAAUUAUAUUCUUCACGAUCUAAUGUUAUGUUUUUUUAAUUAUGAAUAUACUUUCCAAUAUUUUGAUUUUCUGUAUAAAAAAUAAAAAAAAAAAACUUUUUAAUUUCGAAAGAAAAAUCUGAACUUUCAUUUUUAAUUCUAUUCUUAUUAGAUUCAUAAAUUUUGAAAUACUUUAAGUUGCUGAAUUUUUUAUUUUUUUUAUAAAUUAAAACUUCUUAAUUUCGAAAAAAAAAUAUGAAUUUUUUUUUUUAUUUUUCCAGAAUUUUUAAAUGUUUCCUCUAUUGAAAAUAAUAUGGAUAUAUGAAUUUUUCCAGAUUUUAUUUUAUUAAAUUUUCUAUAUUUUUUUCAUUUUACCAGAUUUUUUAAAUUAUUCCAGAAUUUUUUUUACUAUAUUUUCUAUAUUUUUUCAUUAUUUUCCAUUUACCAGAUUUUAAUUAAUUUUUCCAUAAUUAUUUUUCGUUUUUUUAAUCAUUUUUUUUAAUAUUUUUAUUUUUCUAGAAUUUAUUUCAUUUUUUUAUAAUAUUUUUUCGUUUUUAAGAAUUUUUUAAAUUUUUUUUAAAAAAAAAAUCAUUAAUGCCACGUGUAUCCUAUAAUAAAAAUAAAAAUAAAAAUAAUUAUACAGUCAGCCUGCCACGUCAUCCAAAAAAGGUGACGGAGCAUGCCACAUCAGCAAAAAUGCAUAGUCAGCUGGUCUAGGAGGGUUUUCCAAAACAAAAAAAAUUUACAAGGAUCGAAUCUAAAGUUUUUUUUUACAGGGGGCAAAACCAAAAGUGAUCUAUAUUACAGGAGGUAAAGGCCUAUUAACCCAAAAAUUAAAGAAGUUAAAAUCAUAUUACUUGAACAGCAAGGAUAUUUAUUUUCAAGAAGUUUGAAAAUCAUAUGCGUAUAGUCUUUUUGCUUAUGAAAAAAGAAAACAUGUGUAAAGUGUUUCAUUUUGGACUUCUAGAUGGAUAGAAACAGAUGUUAUAUGGGGGCUUUGUCAAAAAAAUUGAUCAGUUCUUCUCUGCGUUGAAAACAACUGUGGACCAAUAAAUAUUCAACUUAUUCUCCUUUUUAUUUUAUUUUAUAAUAAAUAUUCAACUUCUAGAUAUAUGAAUGAUUUUUCGUUUUUUAUUGUUAACGGUCUAACAUAAACACAAACUAAAACACUCUUUAUUUAUUUAUAAUUAAGUCAAAAGUAAUUAAUCAAGAUAUGUUUGUUCCAACAACUGAUUUGUAUUUUAAAUAUGAUCUAGAGAUUAAAAUAAAAUUAUUCAGUUUUGAUUCAACAAUUCAUGUUUACUAAUGAAAGAGACAUCACUAUUUUAUUUUAAAAUACAGAUAAUCUAGAUAUAGAAGAUAAUAAAGUUAUUAUAGUAUAAUUGAUUUUGAUUGAUAUUUAAUAUAUAAAUAACAUGAUCAUGUCACCCAAGUGGGUAUAUUAUUAAUAUCAAUUUGUUUGCCCAAUCAAAUUUGGAUCCCACGUACACGUAGGGUUCUAGAUGACCAUGUCGUCGUCGCAUAGUAAAGCAGCCUAUCUAAUAUAUUUUGCGGGUUUUAGAAGGCAAGUAUGUAUGUAUUGUUGGACCCUCCUACGUUAUAUGAACAAAAUUGAUGCAAAGAUUCCCAUCCAAAUUCAUGAAUCCUUUUCGGUGGCUUUGACCAUAUAUCAUCAACACUUGCACACAAAAAUAUCCCUUUUCCUUCUAGACUGUCUGUAGUACAUUCUUUUUCAUUGCCAUACUUUUGUACUACUAUUAUCUUCAACAUCAAAAAAUUAUUCUUCAAAAAUAUCUUCAAAAUUUUAUAAAAUUUUUGGUAAGGAUAUCUUAGUUUGGAGUUCGAAUCCGGCCACCACUAAACAAAAAAAAACCUAUCAAAAUUUAAAAGGGUCCUACAAUUCUUUAUAUUUUAAUAUUGUAAGGAAUAUCAUUAUGAGUCGAGAUUCAAUUUUUAUAUUUUGUAAUACAUAAAAGAAUAUACUAGUAAUUGAAGACCCAACAACUACAAAUGCAGCAAUUCCUACAAAAUCAUCCAUAACCAAAGUAUCUUCUAGUAAACUCUUUCACUGCCUCAUUGCUUUCAAUUCAACUUAUUACAUCUCUAAAUUGUCAUCCAACCAGUCCAUAUAAUAAAUUGUCAACCAAGCCACAUGACAGAUUCCAAAUUUCAUAAACAAGGCUAAGUAGUCAAAGAUAGGGUUUUAGACUUCGGAAUCUUGGGAUAAAAAAUACUUCAAAAUAUUCAAAUUAAUCAUAAAUAUAUUAUAUUAUAGAUUAUUUAUAGAUGUUUGCUCAACUCAGUUAGUCAAGAUGAUCAGGUCAUAUCACCCAUCCUGUGAUGAGGGCUUUCCUAUAAAAUAGAAGGUUCGGCUCUCUAUUUAAAAUAAGGCCAUAUACUUGUCCACACAGGCACCACAUGGUGAUUUUGGAACUAUAGACAAUAUUAAUGUCAGUUUGUUGUAUAAUACAGUCAUAUCUAAGCUCUGCAGAGAUAGCCCUUGAAUUAUUUUCUGAAAUGCUUGUUAAAAAGAUCAGGCGUGGUCGUGAAGCAUAUAAUCGUCUAAUCUAUGGCUUUUGCAUUACCGGUCAAUUUUAUGGAUCUUAUUCUUAGGUGGAAUAUUAAGUUGGUAAAUAACUUGUCCUGUAUAUGAUCUUAUUGAUUUUUAAUAGACCAUAUUACAAUCUAGGAUUGAGUUUCUCAUUCAUCUUUUUGGUUAAUGACUUCAGUCUGUAUGGCUGCAAUUUCAUGUACACUCGACCGCCUACCACAUAUGUAUUCUACCAUUGUUACCAUAACAUCUCAUUUAAUUUUGUGCAUUAGAUUUAAUGUCAUGUAGGUAGUCCCAUUUAUGAGUCUGUAUAGCUGCAACAAGUUUAGUAGUCCUACAUAAAUUUUGUUCCGUUUUUGUUCCUACUGUCAUUACACUUUUACCCAACAAUGACUGUUUUAGUCCCUAAAAAGGCAAAAUAAUGACUAAAAUUGAACAAUUUUUUUUGUAAGGACUAAACUUGAAAAAUGGUGAUUUUCAUAGGCACUAAUUUAACCCGCAAUUAAACUAUUUCAUUGAAAUACAAAGUAAAAGAGAUCUGGAUGAAGCCUUCCUCCUGCCAGCCAAAAGGAGUGUGUUUUUUUUUUUUUUUUGGAGGACCGAAAAGCAGUCAUCCUAAAAAAUGCAAUGGUGAAGUGUGAGACUCAUGACAUUAAUAUGAAAAUGAACAAGGUUGGAGCUUUAAGAAUUACUUAAUCAACUCAACCGAGUCUUGGUUCUUUCUCACCUAAUACAUUAAAAGAUUAGAGAAAAUGUGAAAAGAAAACAUUAAAAGCUAAUACAUUUUUGCCCAGUAAUAUUACCAUAAAAUCUAGGCUUAAUUGCACUUUUGGUCUCCUAUCUUUCCAAAAGUUGCGAUUUUGGCAUUAAAAUACAAAACAGCCCCCUAUGUAUUGGAUCUUUGUCAGUUUUGACCCACAAGGCCACUUUGACUUAGUCUUCGCUGACGUGGCACCCACAAUGGUCGACACGUGGCAUCUCAUUUAAGGAAUGUGGGUGCCACGUCAGCGAAGACUAAGUCAAAAGUGGCCUUGGGGACCAAAACUACCAAAGAUCUAAUGCAUAUGAGGCUGUUUUGUAUUUUAAUUAGUUAGGGGUCAAAAUCGCAAUUUUUGAAAAGAUAGGGAGCCAAAAGUGCAAUUAAGCCUAAAAUCUAUGAACAAUAAGAAGAAAGAUAAGUUAAUGGAAAAUAAAAGGAAAGGGAGAAAGGGGCAAUACUAGAAAAGGACGUAUCACCUAUCAAUUUUGUACUAACCGAGCUAAGUUCACCUUACCAACCGAGCUAAGCUCACGAGGAUAAGAUAUAUAUGCGUGUGAAAGAAAAGAAUGGUGUUUUCCAUAAAUUCGGUACAUAUUUUUUUUAUAAAAUAAAAAUGAGAAUCUAAAAAAUAGUUUAAAAAAAUUGUUUUGGGUAGUUUCUCUUAAAAACUAGUAAUUCUUAUAACUGAUGUUUUUAAAGAUGAGUGAUAUUUGAACAAUCAAAAUAUAGAAACUUUUGGAUCAAAGUACACAAAUACACAAAGUAAAUAUUAUUUUUAAUUAAAAAGGUGAAAAAAUAAUAAUAUGAUUUUACAACCAUAUAAAAUUACGGUGUGACAGAACUUUUAUGUUGCCAAAAUAGCUUUCCUCUUUUUUAAAAUUAUUUUCAUUAUGGUACACUAAAGCAAAAAAAAAAAAAAAAGGAUAUUCUUAAAAUUCUAUAAAUUAUUCAAUGUGUAUUUUUUUAUAAUCAUUAACAAUUCCCUUAAAAUCUUGUCAAAAAAAAAAAACAAAUCCCUUAAAAAAAAUAUGCUAUAAAUAUAGAGACUAGGGGAUAUACACACCAUUCUUAUUAUAAAAUGAAACUCGAAAGAGUGAAACUCUUAUAUGUGGAGCCAAAACAAUGUGAUUUACUUUGCUUCUAUGAAUUAUGAAAACCAAAAAGGGUCGAUUAAAAAUUUGGAAACUAGACAAGUUGAAGUGAAUACUUGAAUAUUGCAUUGGACAUGUGGAAAUUGAUAAAAUAACAUGAAGAAAUCAUGCUGUGUUGUGUUUUAUUGGCUAGCUGAAAACCAUGAGGUAGAAAAUUUGAAAAUUCGUAGAUCAACAUUAGCAAGAAAGGUUUGGCAUGAAAUUUUUUCAUCUUUAGAACGUAACAUUGAGUGGCUUUCAAAUAAUAGACAACACUAUGUUUGGAUUGAUGGAGAGUGAUGGAAUGGAAUGGAACCAUGCUCCAUUGUUUGGUUUUGUAUAAAAGGAAUGGAAUGGAGUGUGAUGGAACUCAUUCCAUCCAAUACCACUCAUUCUUUCAAUUUUUCAUUCCAUCCAAUUUGGGGUGUAUCCAAUGGAAUGGAACACAUUAAUACUUUUAUUACAAUUUUAUCCCUGCAUUUUCUAUUUCACCUCCUUCUUUCUUCUUGCGUGUGUGCAACUUGAAUUUUUUUUCUUCCUGUUUCUCUCUCCUACAACUCUCUUUUAGGUCAUUUAUCUCCAGUUUUUUCUUCCAGAAAGCCUCACGCCUUCCAUGACAUAGUAGUUAUUUAAUGUUCCUCGUUGUGACACCACAAAGUUCCACAAUUUGCAGAAAAGAAAAUCCAAUCCAUAUAGUAGUCAUAUAACAAACUUACUGCUUACUAUGCUCUUCUAAUCCUUUCUAUGAACUGAGCCAUCAACCAUUAUUAUUAUAUUGUUUAAUUAAAUAAUAUCUGAACCAUUGGAGAAAAUUAUGCUUCAAGGUUGUGUUUCAUCAUUAGAGGUAGAUAAUAAAACAUCCAUGUUUUAAUUUGCAGCGAGUUCAUAUUCUGGAUGCAUCAUUCUUAUAUGUGAAGCAUUUUUAUUAAAUUAGGUAUAAUACAUUUUUUGAUGUGAAGCAAUUGUGAAGCAUUUUUAAUGUUUUUUUAAAUAAAGGUUAAAAUUGGAAUAAAAAAUUAUAAUACAUUCCAUUCUGUCAACUUCCCAAACAAUGGAGUGGAAAGUUAGUUUCGUUCCAUCGUGAAAUAUCCAAACGAUGGAAUGUAAUCUCUAUUCCAUUCCGUUUCAUUCCGCUCCGUUCCAUUCAUUUCCGCUCCGUUAGUUUUAAGUUAUCCAAACAAAGCCUAAUGAGCUUCAUUAAAAAAAUAGUAAAGGUUUUAUACAAGAAAGGGAGGAAGUUUUAUCCAAAAAAUAAUAAAGAGACGAUCAUGGUUAAAGAUGUAUGGGGAUUGGGGCAUAUACACCUUUAAACACUCUUAUCGUCAAGUCAAUUUGUCAAAAUAAAAUAGUGAUAGGUUUAUUAGAAUUAAUCAUAUAUCUCUCCUAUUGCAGGUGUCUUUUUUUACUAUAAGCGAGGCUUCAGAAAAUCAGGAUAAAUUCCGGACAAGUUUGCAAAAAUUAUUAACUUUUAAAUUACUAAUUUGAUUUUCACCGUGUUCUAAGAAUGUUAGCAACACACAUUUUUCAACAAACUAUCUUUGAUUGGUUGAAAUUCACAUGGGUUCCACCAAAUUAUGUGGGUCCCAUACAAAUUUGAUGGAUCCCAUGUGAAUUUUAACCAAUCAAAGAGAGUGUGUUGCUAGCAUUUCUCUUAUGCAAAUUCAUCAAAUCAAUGUUAAAACAAAACAAAGGAGACUUAUGCUUUUCUGACAUCCAAUAUAUCUUGGAAACACAAGUAAAUGACUAAAAAAGUCAGCGGUAGUAGUUAACUACCGCAAAAGGUAUUUUAGUAUUUUAAUCGUGUUUUUAAGAAGUUUAUGAUGUGAAAAAAGCAAUUGUCAACAAAGGAGGCAGGGCUUCUCAUGGCCAGUUCGAUGGGCCAAGGUUCAUCAAUGUUACAGGCCCACAAACCACUAAAAAUGUUGAUUUUUUUUUUUUUUGUGGUGGACCCAAUUUAUGUCAUUGUUCAAACCAUAAUAAUUUGUUAAUAAUCAUUUCAUCUACUUUCUAAUUUCAAAAUUUUGAUACUAACAUCUAAUCUAACCUCACCCACAAACGAUUAAUAAAUUUGGAACCAAUUUAUUUUUGUUCUUAUUGAAACAUUUCAACUUCAAGGACACUUUGGUCCUACAAAUAUUUCUAUAUGACAUACCCUCUUUAUUACUCCCUCUCAUAUAACCGUUACCCCAGUAACAUAGCAACACAUGGAAUCAUUUAUUAAUACGUGUAACACCAAACUUUGAAUUAAAUAUUAUUAUUUUUCAGUUUUAUAAAGUAAAUCCAAAUUCGACCGUUGGUUCCUUCAUCAACAAAAUACAACAAAAACACACGCUCUUCAAUUACAACCUUAUUUACUCCAAACACUAACCACUUCAAACUCAACAACAAUGGCAGAACAAUUUGGUUUCACUUCUGAAGAAAUUGUUGUCAAUGACAACCUAGGAUACCCAAAAGCCUAUGCAAAACUCUGUCGUGACCGUGGUUUUACUCCGUACAGCCAUGGUCCUCCAUUCACUUUUCUACCUUAUGCUUUGCCUGAAGAUGAGGUAACCCAUUUUAUUCUUUCUUUGGUUUCAUUGUAAAAAUUGAAUCUUUUUUUUAUUGGGUUGGAUUUGUAAGUUGUAACAUUUGUUAAUGUUUUUUUGGUUAGGUUGAAAGAGUGAGUUUUUUGGAUGAGAUGUUUCCAAUUAUUGAUCCUAAAGCUAAGCCAACGACGAAGGCAAAAAUCUUUGCUAGUAUCUUGUGGAAGCAACUCAGUCAUCUUGGGUAGAAAAUUCAGCUUAUCUUAAGCAAUUAUAGUAACAAGUUUCGAAAAUUUCAAUUUCAAUUAAUGUUAAUUUUGUUUGAAACCUCAGGAAUGCUGGUUUUGAUCCGGCGGUGAUUCGAGUUGAUGGUUAUGGUAAUGUAUUGUAUUAUCAUGCGGAUUCAGCUUCUCCUCUUGCUUGGGACAUUGAUCAUUGGUUUCCUUGUUCAAGUAAUUGAGUUUUUUCUCUCACUUUCAAUUUAAUCUUUUUAGAAUUUACAAUGUGCAGAACUCAUCAAUUUAGUCUCCAAACUAUAUAACUAUUAGAAAUAGUCUAUUAGAGUAUAUGAGAUCCUUCAAUUUAGUCCCAAAAUAUAUGAAAAAGUAUUAAGAAUAAAGCAUCACUUUAGUCUCUAAAGUCUAAACUAUAUAAAUAUAUAUAAUAAGUAGUCUCCAACUUACUUGUUCAAAAAAAUAGCAGUUUCCAACGUAUAUGAAAUUCGUCAAUUUAGUCCCAAAAUAUAUGAAAAUCUAUCAAUUUAGUAUGUAACAUCUUAAUAGGAGGGAUUAAAUUGAUGGAUAUUAAGUACUUUAGGGACUACUUAUUACAUUUAUAUAGUUUAUGGAUUAAACUGAACAGUGAGUCAUAGCUUGGGGACUAAAUUCUAAAUUGAUGGUUUAUUCUCAAAAUUAGUUCGGAAGGCUAUCUUAUUUUGAUCUCCAUGAAUGUAUGUAUAUAGGUUUAAAAAGCUUUUUAGUAAUUGAAGAAGGUUGAAUUUAUUUUAAUUGAGCUACAAACGAACUAGGCCUUGGUGUGAUUUUGCUCAUUUUGGGAUGACAAUUGUAGGAGGAGGUUUGACUGUUUUAAGCAAUCUAAGGAUAUUACAAAGGCAAGUUUGUAAGAGGAAGAAACAUAAAUUGGAAUUCCUAGUACCAUGGUGGGAUUUCCAAUUGGGUAUAUCUGUCAAUCAGUUUUUGUCGAUUUUUGCUUCUUCAAAUUCAGACUUUAGGUAUGUUAUUUCAUUGUCUUGCUAUUAUUUCAAAUUUUCUUCAUAAACACAUCAAACUAGGAGGGUAAUGAUGAUUAUGUUUGGUUGCAAAUGACAGGCACAGAGGCUUUUCAUUUUUGUUCUCUGAAGGAGAAAGUCAUGAAUUGCAUGAUACACAAAUAGUGGAUUCUCAUUCUUUUCCACAACACUUCAUUGGUUUGAAAGAAGAAGUAGGGCUUGCUCCUGCUGCAAUCGUUCAAUCGCGAAGGGAUCCUUAUGAUGCAUUAGCUUUAAGACAACUUGAUCACAGUAAGAAGACAAGGCCUAUGUCUCCUGCAAUAGGUUUGUGGCAAUGCAUAAAUAUGAUUAAUCAUACCAAGUUUGAUUUUAAGAUAGAGAAUUAGAGAUUGACGUUAUAUGUCUUUUUUCAGUGGCUGCGAGAAAAACAAAAGGCAAUGUGCUGAAAGAAAAUGCAGAUCCAAAUUUUGUCAAAAACCCCUACCAAGCAAUUGUCAUGGCCAGAGAUUCACAGAAGCAAAGAGAAGAAACUUUAAAAAUGCAGGCUGAAAUGCAGAAGUUAGAUAAUGAAGUGAAUGAAAUGAAACUCAAGAAUGAAGAAGAAAAGAUUGUUAUUCAAGAUCUCGAAAUGACACUUAUAAAACGUAAGAGGAAAGCAGAAAAAUGCAGACGGUUAGCGGAAGCUCAAUCUUCUUACAGAACCAUGCUAGAGAAAAUGAUCAGAGACACCAUGCACCAGUAAGCUUCAUUAACCAAAGUUGAAAUGCUUAAUUCUUUUCUUUAUAUAUUUUCUUGGACUAUGGCAAAGUUUUCAAAAAGAGUUUAAUUUCGAUACAUGCGUAAAAAGUUUUGAAGCGUCAACAAAUCCCAAUCAAUUUAUAUAUGUGUGUGACUUUAGAAAUAGUUAUGAUUAAAAGCAAACAUUUUUAAUGAGCUGAAGAUUACAAAUGCAGACGGUGUGAUAAAUUUUUAUAUUGACAAAUAAAAUGAUUUACAUCAAUUUAAAAAAUUGAUAUCAUUUUCUUGCAGGAGUGUGAUUUAUAAGGAACAGGUGAGAUUGAAUCAGGCUGCAAGUAAUGCAUUAAUGGCAAGACUUGAAGCACAGCGAGCAAUUUGUGAUGCUGCUGAGAAAGAGCUUCAUAAGAAGUAUAAACAAAAAGAUGACAUAGAGAAACAGAUUAGACCUGAAUUCGAGCAACGAAAGAGGUUCAGAAUAGAUGAUUCCACUUUUGAAGAGGAGAGAAACUCUAAAUCUGUUAUUUAUUUGCCUGGAAAUAGGCCAAGAACACCUUUUCACAAGGAGCUUCGAGUUUUGUUGGAUGAAGAGCAAAAGGCGUCCGAAGCCGGCUUAUCUGCAAAUGAAGAAGAGCUAAAAAUUGAAGAAGAGGAACCUACCAAAUCAGUGGUUGUCUUGGAUGAAGAAAAGUCAAUUGAGCAGAGACUUCAGAAGCUAGAAAUCAGUGAAGGAAAGAGGACUGCUGGCAUUUCAUUCCGAGGUUUUCAUGAGAAAAAUGUUGAGGAAGAUGAAGAAAUGAGGAACCAACGAGGCAAAGGGAACGUUGAAAAAUGGCUUCAAUUGCUUUUAGAGAAUGGUCAAGGAGAAGGAACAGAUUCACAAGAAGAAACAAAUGGAAAUGCUUCUGGUAGGACUGAAGAUAUAAUCCAACAACUGAAUCAGAAGUUUCCACAAAAGGAGUUGUUGAAGGUCUCAAAAGUUUCAGAUUCUGAUAUUAAUAAUAUUGAGAAGGAGCUGCAAGUUCUUCAAGACAAGAAGUGUUGGACAGAGAAAGAAGAUGAUAAAAUAGAGAAUGUUGAUGAUGCUACUGGAUAUAAAAAUUACUCUGCAGAAGCUUAUGUAGGGGAAACAAAUGGUAGUUUUGAGAAAACAAAAAUUGGUAAAAAUUGGAAAGAAGAACAACAUAAAUUGGAAAAAAGACUUGUUAGAUCAGAGAGUGCAAGGGUCUUGAGACGAAUUCCGUCGUCUCCAUCUUUGUUUCAAGGGAUGAAGUCAUCCUUCAAGACAAUCAAGAAAGCAGUGAAACUAUGAAUGUUUGCGGAGGCUCUUGUACUUUUUAUUUUCCCUUGUUCCUUAACAAUUUGAGUGAUGCUAGUUGAAUAAGUGAGUGAAUAUGUGUGCAAAAAUAUAGGGCUUGAUUCUAUUGUUUGAUUUGUGUAUAAGAUUUUUUAGUUAUCAAAUAAGUAUAACAGCUUGUUGUUUUGGCUGCAAUAAUUAGGUUUCUGUUUCUUCUAUUUUCAUGUUAAGCACAUAGUUUUCUACUAUAAAUUUGAGAAUUCUUGCAUCUGCUAUAAUAAUUUCCUUAUUUAUCAGAAUUACAAGCAGAAAUGAUCUUUGGUUGUUCUGAUGUAAAAAAGAGUCUUGUAAUGUGGAUCCACCAUAAAGCACUUGUAAAUAAAUGAAAAACGUUACACAGUUUAUGACAUUCCUACUCCUAGGGUACUUUUCAUACGCUCUGAAGAUCAAACACAACAAACUUUUAAAUUACUAGUACUAUGUAUGUCAACAAAGUACUUAAAGAGAUCAACAAAGUCCUUAGCCUCAGAAAGUGCAAUAUCAACCGUUUAUGUUUUAACAGAUUUAUACAAAAGUUUUUUUUUUUUUUGGUACAAGUACAAAAGUAUUAACAUGUAUUGCAAUUAAACAUUGAAAAGUAUAACAAGUUAAUUGGGGUGGGUAACAUGGACCUCUCAAAAAUGGUUCAAAGUUGGAUCUUUACUACUUUUAGUAACAAUAAUGAUUCCAAUUUAUUAUCAAUUCUAUGUUACAGACGGCCAAUUAAAAUAUUAGAACACUGCAGCAAAAAAUGUGUCACUUCAGCUAAAAAAAGAAUUGAGCGACAAAAUUAAAAAUGAUUAAAAAUUGUAGUGUCAAAUUGAAAGGAUUUGGAAUUAUGUUACUACUCCUAUUUGUAGGGACUAUUUGCAUAACUAAGUCUAAAAUAUAUAUGUUCAAAAGUUAAAUUAAUUCAUUUCAAGUUAUAGGAAUAUGAACACCAAUAAAUUACCGUAUGCUUGGCACAUAUGUGAAAAUAGAUCGAGUCGAGCUAAACUUUGUAAUGACUAAGUUUGACAUGUCAAAAAAAAAUUUAAGGUUUAAAUCUGAUAUGUAGUCCGUCGUAAACUUAUUUUUUAAACAUAAAGAUGACCUUAAAAAAGUUUGAUAUGAUUUUUGGUGAAAGGAAGUUUGAUAUUGUUUAUAUAUGAUCAUAUUUAAACUAAUAAUAUAUAUGUUUAAAUAGAAUAAAUCAAUUAGAUUAAACAUGACAUUUUAGAUAAUUUAACUAUAUAUGAUAUAAUAUUUCAAUUAUAAAACCUUAUAAACCCACAAGACUUUGUUAUGUUAUGGUUUGCAGUCAUGAUAAAUAUGUGUUUUCUUUUUAGAGAUGAAUAUAUAAGUGUUGUAAUCAAGAGAGAUAUUAAGUGCUUUGAUAUUCAUUCCAACCGAAGAUAGGAUUAGCUCCUUUCCAGAUUCAAUUAUAUCUCACAUUCUCUCUUUUCUUCCAACCAAAGCGUCCUCUCAAAGAGGUGGAAUCCAUUAUGGCUCUCGGUUCUUGAUCUCAACUUUGACGCCCAAACUUUUGAUACUCAGUCAUUGUAUCACGCUGCCAAUAAAAUCAUUCCGCCUCAAAGAGGAAUCGAAGAACUAGACAUUGACAUGUUGGAGAAUGUUAAUGGAUUAACAGAUAGCAUUUUCAGUUGCAAGACACUCACUGUCCUCAAAUUGAAAAACCUAUCGAUGAGAGACGACAAUUGUCAAAUAGAUCUUCCUCUACAAAUCUUUGUAUCUCAGCUAAGAAUUUGCUUGUUUACAGGUUGUAGAGGCAGAAAGUGUGAGCUUCAAUUUGCAGAGUAUGUUAUGCAAAACUCAAAACCAUGACAAUUCGCAGUGCUUGUUUCAUAGAUUUGAAUGCAAGCAAAACACGAAAUGCUAAGGAAAUUAUCUGUGUGCCCAAGGGGCUGUAAACUUAUAUUUUGAUUGAUGAAGACUAUAAUAUAUUUAUAAUUCCAAUUUUUAUAUGUUAGAUUCUUCUACAUAUAGAAUUUGAUGGGGUUUGAAUUAUAUAUGUAAUUAAAAUCCAUUCUAUCUCCUCUCAACUUUUAUUUUAAUUUUCUUACGGGUUGUUUGUUUUUAUUUUAGUUAGCUCAAUCACUAUCGCUUUUUGGCAAUUGGUUAUUUCAAUCAAAUAUUUCAAUCACUAUCGCUUAUUAAGUUUGCCAUUGGUGUAUUUUCUGUCUUCCACAAUAGGGUAUAUGAUGAUGCAUGUACAUACAUGGCUUGCCAAGAGAAUGAACAUGUAGUUCUAAACUAGAAAAGAAACUUUUUAGUGUUUUCCAUAAUCCAUAUUGGACCAUGUUUGAGAACUAAAGAAUAAGAAGUCUCACUGGUUUGGAAUGUAAAGAAUGGUGAAAGGGAGAGAAGAAUGGAGUUUGUUUCUUGUGACAUCAAUGGAAGAAAGUGGUAUGGAAGAAGGAAUGUUAUCUUGAAUUCCACCGGUGAGACACAAUUGUUAAGAAUUCUAACCUUGGAAUCUGUCGAGAGUGAAUUGGAAGAUGCAUUCAAGGUUACUAGGAAGCAAUAUUAUUCAAGGUUUUGGUAUUAGCCAUGGUUUUAAAUUGCGGGCCGCAUCCGCAACUGCGACUACAACAACAACAUUUCAUGACAACUGCAGUGUGUUCUUCAAUUACGUGUUUGUCCGCAUCAGGAACCACAUCAAUCGAUUUCAAUCAUUUUCGUUCAGAAUUUCUCGCCAAAAAUUAAAAUCUUGGAACUCCAAUUUACAAUAUGCUUUAGAUUAUAAUGAAAAGAGAAAUGAUAUUUGAACAUUCAUUCUGUGACAACUUUUGUUACAACUUUCUCUCUCAUACUCGUAUUAUUUUUUACUUUAUCUCUUUCUGUUGUUUUGGUUUUCCUGCAAAUAACUACUUUUUCUUUGUAAAUUAUGGUUAUCCCAUAAGUUGUCAAUCAAAUGGUUGUUCAAAUAACACUACAUACCUUUAAUAGUCUCUCAAAAAUGUAUUUCAAACACUUUGGAAUUGGUAUUUAGGGAGCAAAGUUGCUAUGGUGGGUAAGUAGGCUAGCACCAUGUUGGUGUCACUUUAUCUAUUUUGUGAAAAUUAAAAAUUAUUUCAUGUCCCAACAACCGAAUGUGCAUCGGAAUCGUCGCAAUAACCACAACAACUGCAUCAGUGACCGGAGUUUAAAACCAUAUAAGCUACAAUCACAGCAACCACAUCUGUGAUCCGUUCUUUUAAAUUUAAUAGAUAUUAAUUGUUCCUUUCAUCUCUCAUUAUAACACACUUCUCUUACUUGAUACAUCCUCUCUAUAUAUAUAGACACGGACAUUCAAUAUAUUACUCAUCAAGAAUAACUAAAUAUUCUUUAAAAAAAGAUUAAUUAGAUUAGAUAUUAAUUUGUUUAUUAGUAUUUUUAACCGUGCAUUGUUAUGUGAAAUAAGUCUUAAGUUGGAACAUCUGAUCAAUGCAUGUUCACUACAAGAAAAUCUAAGAUUUGCUACCAUAACUGUGCUACAAAAUAAAAUGGUAGUAAAUAUCAAAAUAAUUAACUACCCUUCCGAGCAUGUGUGAGUUAUUGUUAUACUGCAUCAAACUUUAGAGAACUAUUGAGUUAGACUCUGUUUGGAUAUAAGCAGCUUAUUUGGAGCUAAUUGCACAAACACUUCUCAUGAUAAGCGCUUCUGUAUAAGGUUAAAACACUUCUCAUGAUAUGUGCAUUAAAUAGUCUGAUUAGGAGAUGUAAAACAUCAAAUAGAAUUUCAAUUAUUACUUUUACAUUGUGUUUGAUUUGUAUUUAUAAGAUAAUUUUUUUUAGGGUAUUGCUAACCCGUGUCCAAGAGUGUGUUUGGAUGGAGGAAUGUUUAUUGUUUUGAGAGAAUUCAAAUACUUUGGGGUGAAUUCUAUUGUUUGGAUAAUAAUUUGAAGAAUUUUCAAAAUGAUGGAAAUUUAUGAAGUAUUUUGUUCAAGUUAAAUUUAGAGAAUUUCAAAUGACACCUAAAAGCUAAAAAUUUCAAAUUUCUUCAUUGCUGUUAUUUUUCAUAUUUUGCAUUUUGGUCCUUAAAUUUUCCAAAAAAUUCAAAUUGAACCCAAUAAAUUUCCAAAAAAUUGCAAAUUGGUCCCUCAAUUUUUCAAAAAUUAUAAUUUGACCCCUCAAUUUUUAAAAAUUUACAUUUUGACCCCUAAUUUCAAUUUUCAAAUUUGACCCAAAAAAAUUAAAAUUUAUAAAAGUUGCCCAAAAAUGAUGACAAUGAAUUUUUUUAUUACUUCAUCCAAACAAAAGAAUUGAGAAAUGAAAGUAAUUUAAUUGAAUCAUUUAAAUUGCCUAGAAUUCUAAAUUCUUUAAAAUUUCUCAAUUACCUCAUCCAAACAUACUCUAUUGUUUGAAUUCACCUCAAAAUAAUCGAAUUCCCUCAAAACAUUACAUUACCUCAAAUAUUCCCCCAUCCAAACACACUAUAAGAGUAUUGGUUAAAAAAUUCAGUAGUAGAAACUUUUGAACGCAUUUUUCCAAAAUUCAAAAGUGACAAUAAUCUAUUUUAUAUGUAAAUGGAAUACAUAGCUUUUAGAUAAAUAAAAUGACAAUAAUCAUUAAAAAUUAACACACAAAUGAAGGAGUCAAUUUUGAACCACAAUCACUACCAGUUUUUAUUUAAAGAAAAUAUCUUUAUUUAUUAAUUUUGUUAGGUCUGCAGCAAUUUAACCUAAUUUUUUCCCGCUCAUUUUCUUUAUUAGGUUUUCAAGUAUUUAACCUAAUAAAUUUCAUCUAAAAAAAUGCAUCGCACCAAUUUCAUUUCUAUCCUCUUGCCUUUUUUUUUUUGAAAAAAAUAUUUUCUACACUUUUUUGAUGUUGCACGUUUGUUCUAGAAACUAUGAACAUAUCAAUGAUCACGUUUGAUGCAUUUUAUUUUAUACUUUUUUGUUUUAGAAACCAUGAGCAUAUCAAUGAUCACGUUUAAUGCCUUCUAUUUUAUACUUUUUUUUUUUUUACAAUAUUUUGUACACUUUUUUUUUUAAACCAAUUUUAUGCCUUUAUUUCAUUCCUAUCAUGUUGCCUUUUUUUUUUACAAUAUUUUCUACACUUAUUUAAUAUGUUUACAAAUAGAAUACCCUAAUUUCCAUGCAAACUCGGCUACCCUAAUUAUUGAUAUGAUUACCGAAUUUUCUUUUAUAAUAUUUUCAGAUUUCAUACAUUUUAUGAAGUGUUUUAUUUUGUCUACAAUGGAUUAUCACGUGUUAUUUUUUCACUAUUAUCUAUUAUAUAUUGCAUUUUAUUAUUCGUAUAUCAAUCUCUUUACAAUAAAUUUGAGCGGAGCACGGAUUAAAAAUAUAGUAUAGAUUUGUUUCUUAAAAAAAAUAGCUAUGAACACUCUGAUUCUAGCAUUUUCUAUGACCCUCGCUUUUUUAUUAGGUAAAAUAUAUAUAGUAUCAUACUUUUGAAAAAUGUCCACAUGUGAGUUUCAUACUAUACAAGAGUGGAUGUUGAAGAGAACAAUAAAAGGAGUUUAGUUUUUUUAGUAAUAUUAAAAAGAGAUCGUUACUGGCCUUUUUUUUUUUUUUAGCCAAGAGUUACUAGCCUUUCUGGUAUAUAUAUAUAUAUAUAUAUAUGAGGUUUGCUAAAAUAAACCCAUUAGUUUUUAUGUGGGAGUGUUUUAGCAAAGCUACACCUUAAGGUGUAUUGAACCAUUUUUUAGUUAUUCACUUGCUAAAAUACUCAUUCUAAAAAAUAAGUGGGUGUAUUCUAGCAAAUGCCUAUAAGAUUUGUUAGAACACACCCACUUGCUUUUUUUUAGAAGAUGUGUUAUAGCAACAUACACCUUAAGGUGUAUUUAUUAACUUUUUAGUUAUAACUUGCUAAAACACUCCCACAUAAAAACUAGUGGGUGUGUUCUAGAAAAUCCCUAUAUAUAUGCGUAUAGGGAUGGUAAAGUGGACCAACCCGUCAUGUUUAGGCUCGUUUUUCCUAAGUCCGCUUAAAACGGGAUGAGACGAGCUGAGUUAAAUUAUGUGAUCCAGUUCAAAAUCUCAACCUCCCCUUCUGUUUAGUGGCAGACAUACGAGUUGGUGGACUGGCCCACCAAACAUAAAAAAAAAAAAAAAAGAGAAAAAAAGGUUUUUAAAACUUAAUUGUUACAAAAAAAAAAAAAAAAAACUAUGUUGCUUAUAUCGUAUUUUAUUUUGAGUAAAUAGUCAAUUUUUCCCCUGAAAUUGUAAGUUUCAUCAAUUACCCCCCUGAAAUUAACAAAACUUCAAUUACCCCCCUGAAAUUUCACAACGUUAGUCAAUUUACCCCCUCCGUCAAAUUUUUCUGUGAGUGAACAUGACGUUUUGCAAAUACCCCCUGAAGUUUUGCACUUAUGUGCAAAAUGCCCCCAAACUUAAAAAUUUAUAUUAUUUUUUUCUUAAAAAGAAACAAUUAAUAGUUAAAUAUUAAAACUAACUAUUAAUUUUGGAAUUUGGGAAAACUACAUGCAUAUAUACAUCAAAAUAGGCUCCAAAAUGGAGGAAAAUAUGUAUUUUUUUAAGUGACAAUAAUAGGAUGAUUUAUGGAUUAAUAUUGGGGGUUGUGUAGUUUAAAUGGUUUGAGCAAAUUGUUGAAGGAGUUGGAGGAGUUAAAAGACUAAGAUGGUGAAGGAGAAAAUAUAAAUUUAAAUCUGAUUAUUAAUUUGUUUAUAAACCUCUAAAAAUAAUAAUUUGUCUAUUAGAAAUAACCAUUAUUGUCACUUUAAAAAUACACAUUUUUCCUAUUUUGAUGUAUAUAUGUAUGUUGUUUUUCCAAACUCCAAAAUUAAUAGUUAACUUUAAUAUUUAACUAUUAAUUGUUUGUUUUUAAGAAAAAAAUAAUAUAAAUUUUUAAGUUUGGGGGGCAUUUUGCACAUAAGUGAAAUUUCAGGUGGUAAUUGAAGUUUUGUUAAUUUUAGGGGGGUAAUUGAUGAAACUUACAAUUUCAAAGGGGAAAUUGACUAUUUCCUCAUUUUAUUUUUAAAAGAACAGACAUGACGCUGCCAAUACGAUCACUCCGCCUCAAAUUUGGCAAUGAAUACGACAUCGAUGAACAGAUUCAUUAAUGCAGCAAUACAAAGAGGAAUGGAAAAGCUAUUUGUGAAAGACGAAAAUUGUUCCUAUACUCAAAGUUCUCUCUGUUUGGAUAAUAUGCGGUUCAAUGGGUCUCAGGCAAGCUUGAUCCAGAAAUUAUGCGUCUAAAAAAUGUAUGAACUACGCUGGAUUUGUCUAUUUAAAUCUUAAAACCAAUUCGGUAUAUAUGGUUUCUAAUUUUAAGGGUAACAAGUCUGUGCUAAACAUACUCCCAAUCUACAACAUCUUAUUGCAUAUGCAUAUUUUUGGGAUAAUUUAAUGAUUUAAUUCAUUUUUAACUCUGUGUGCCAAAGGGGAUGUAAACUUAUAUUAUAUUUGAUUGAUGAGGACUAUAAUAUAUUUAUAAAUCCAAGUUUUAUAUGUUAGAUUCUACAUAUAGAAUUUGAUGGUGAUUGAAAGACAUGUUCUUUAAUGGUGUUUUGAUUAUUUCAAUCAAAUACUAAUAUUCGUGUCUUUUCUCAAGUUCGACAUUAAAGAAUGAACAUGUAGUUUUAUACUAGAAAAGAAACUUUUUUAAAAUAUAUUUUGGCUAGGGAACGAAAAUGCCCUGUGUCCAUUGUGGACCAUGUUUGAGAACCGUAAAAUUCAAUGUUCAAACUAGAGCAUGAAAACUUGAAUGUUUGGAAUGUAAAGAAUGGAGGAAGGGAGAGAAGAAAGGAGUUUGUUUCUUGACAGAUCAAUAUUUGAGAAGAAUGAACUUGAAGGUUUCAUUCCUAUUUCCUACAAGCAUUUGGACUGUCUGGUUUGGUGUGAGCUUGCAGCAGAAUUUUGGGUUCAAUAUCGUAAUGAAGGAAUUCUAAGUUGUAAUAGUCAAGGCAGAAUUAUUGGAGUAGUGGUAGUGGUGGUCAGGGCCGUCCCUAUAAAACCGGAGGCUCGGCUCUCAGAGUAAAAAUAGGUUCAUGGUAAAAAGAAUGCACAAUUUUUUAAAAAGAUUAAUCUUCUAGUUAAAUUGAAAAUUACACUCGUAUAAUUAUUAUUAGCCACUGAAAUCAAAAUUAGCAAUUAUUUUUACUAAAGACGUGUUUUUAAACUUAGAAAUAGAAACAUAAAACAUGAUUUUUUACUUAGAAAUUGAAACAAGAAACAUUUUUAUUUUUUUUUUUUGAGUGGGGGUGGGGAUAUUGAGCAAUAAUUUUUUCUUGAGGCCCUUCACUUUGGAACAUCCAACUCGGUUGAGCUCUUUACACUCCCCAAAGUCCGGCCCUGGUGGUGGUCAGUCAUCCAUUAAGAUUAUCAAGAAAGCAGUGAAACUAUGACCAUUUGAGGCUCUAAUGAAAUGCUUUCUGUUUCUCGACCCUUUACACCCUUUACAAUUUGAGUGAUGCUAGUUUUUUUUUUAAAGAAGUUAAAUUAGUCACUAAAAUUGACACAUCGAACUUGAGAUCUUGAGGAGAAGUACACUCAUGAGCCCCAAGUCAAUACCACCAUACUAAACAAGUGGUUUUGAGUGAUGCUAGUUGAAUACGUGAGUAAAAUUUAUCAUGAUAAAAAAAAUAAAAAUAAGUGAUAAAAUAUUUUGGCUUGGUUUUGUAGUUUCUUUUGUGUAUAAGAAUUUUCAAUUAUAAAAUACUUCUUCCGUCCCAUAAUAACUGAAUCAUUUGCAAAAAAAUAUUGUCUCAAAAAAGUUGAUUCAUUUCACUUUUCAAUACAACAAUAAUUACCACGAAGGUAUUACCUGAGAACCUUAUUCAUUCGCAAAAUCCGCAGGAAAACAGAUUUCCUGUGGAAUUUUCAUCGAAAUCCGCUGGAAAUUACGCAGGAAAAUUGAGAGUUUCUUAGAGUGAAAGUUGUAUCCCCCGCAUCUUUAUUGAAGUUAUUCCAAAGUAGGUCACUAUCUUACAUUAUUUCCAAAGUCUUUAUAACUCCAAUAAACAGUUAUACAACAACUUAAUUUUUUAUUUUGUUAUUAACAAUGAAAGCCUAAAAAAAACAUAAUUUAUUAAAUGAACUAUCAACAUCUACACAAAAUGUAAAAUAAAUAAUUCCUAGUUGUGUAUAAUAUUAAUUAAAUUAACUAUUAACAUCUAACUUACAAUUGAAAUAAUAAUUAAGAUUAUGUGUUUAGAAUGAAAAGAAUGGAUACAUGUACAGAAAAAAAUAUAUAUAUAAAUGAUUACAAAAAUGUAAUAUUAAUCAAAUAAUUAUUUAAAAUUUUAGCCAUCAAUUUAUUAUUUAAAAAAAUGAAUUAUCUAUUAAAUAAAUUUGGUUAAAAAAAGUUUAGGUGAGCUCUCGAUACUUACAUAUCACCCAUCAAAGAUGUACUUACAUCGAUAGUGGCAAUUGAACUCACGACCUUGUGCAUGAAAACAAAAGAUAAAAGGGAGAAUAUACAAACAAUACAAAUUUAAAGUCGAUAAAAACAAAAGGGAUAAUCUGCAAACAAUACAAAUUCAAAGUCUCUAAAAAAAAGGGAGAAAUUUGCAAACAAAUUCACAUACAAAUAUAUAUGACUAUAUUCAAGUCUUUGGAGUACCCGUGUCUCCAAAUCUACAAUGUUGACCAGUGGCAACCACCAUUCUAAAUUAAUCAAAUUUCCAUGUUCAUCAUUCUUUUCAAUUACAAGAUAUCAACAGUUGCUAGAUUUUCUGAUAUUUGGAGGAGCGUGCAAUUAUAAUUGGAUUGGAAACCCUAGUUCACCAUGAUGUUGUACGAGCAAUUGCUUUAAUCUUCUUUAUUUUGCAACUGUGAUCAUGUCUUCCUUUCAACCAAAGACAAGCCUCCUCUCGAAGCUGUGGAAUCCAUUAUGGCUCUCCGUUCUCAAUUUGGGGUAUAUGAUGCAUGUACAAGGUUGGCUUAAAGAAUGAACAUUGUGGACCAUGUUUGAGAACCCUAGAAUUAGGUUAGAAGUUUCACUGGAUUCUAAAAUGCAAUGUUCACACUAGAGCAUGAAAACUUGAAGGUUUGGAAUA
RNAcentral lists this long non-coding RNA (46800 nucleotides) under Medicago truncatula (barrel medic). RNAcentral describes it as "long non-coding RNA (MTRU_LNC000045)". The stretch from base 30002 to 30201 matches the Rfam family "MIR2619 microRNA precursor family". Lineage: Eukaryota; Viridiplantae; Streptophyta; Magnoliopsida; Fabales; Fabaceae. The record is from RNAcentral.